GUAUCUCGUACUAUAACCUAUUCAGUCGGUUAAUAUUGAAGUAACUUUAAAUUGGAAUGGAAACAGAAGAUUUAGAAUUUAGGUAUCGAAUUUUUAAUAUUGAAGUAACUUUAACUAAAAAUAGUGUAAGAUACUAUUUUUAUUGGACUUAGAGAAGUAAAAUAUAAGUCGGAAAUGACUUAUGCUGAAAUUGGAAUGGAAACAGAAGAUUUAGAAUUUUCGGUAAGAAACCGGGCUGAUAUUUUAGCAGAAAAUUUAUAGUGUCAGAAAAUUAUGAAAAUUGGAGAAUAUGUCGAAAUUAUUUUUAUGAGGCGAUACUUAAAGUUUCAUGUCAUUCCGACACCCGAAAAGUGGAAAAUAAAAUCUGUCUGCUAUCUGCUAGAGAUUCGGGUCGGUAGAGCUUUCGGUGACCAAAAAUGGUACAAAUUGAAAAGUUAAGAUAUCGUUCUUCUUAUUAAUUUUAACUGAACCUGACUGUCAAAUUUGAGAGCAAACGGAUAUUCAGAAGGGCUCCGGCGAAAAGUAUCAGAUUUUGAAUUGCUAAACUAAAAAUUAUAUUAGUGUUCGGGGAUCGAAAUGUGAUGAUAAUCCCAGCUUUUGUGAGGGGGUUUUUGGCAAUUGUUUGGACUUAUCCUUUAACCCCAGCACCUCAACCCUUCCAUACGUAUUAGACCCUCUCCUCACCUUUUCUUUUGUUUCUUUCUUACUCUCUUUCUCUCUAAACCCUAAGGUGGAUUGGUGAAGGAGAGGUUGGUGAAGUGGGUUUCUUGGUGUUUUGAGCUGAGAGAAGGAACUCUUGAGCAGGAAACUAGCUGUUGGAGCCUCAAACCAAGGUAAGGUUGAUGUAUAUCCCUGGUUUGAAUUGUGUUAUUGGCUCUAAAAAGGUUUAAGCUACAAAGUUUGGAUGUUAGAGUUUUUAGUUGCCAUGAGAAAUAAACCUAGAACAAGUUAAAUGUUGUGUGAAGGUAUAUGAAGCAAUAAACCUGAAGUAGCUUUGCUGUUUCUUGAUUAAAAUUAUGAUGUUUACUCUAUAGAGGGUUGAGCUGUGGAAUUCUAGGUUGCUAGAACUCCUAUUGCCAUGAAAACCUAGUAGAAAGCCUAGAAACUGCACUAUGGACAACAUACAUUUGAAUUGUUGAUUAGAGAUAAAAGUUGAGAGGAACUUGGGCUGUUAUUUUGUUAGGGUUUAUAUUUAUUUACCCUAAACAGGACUUGGUUUGAGUUUUUAGUUUCUAAAGCCUAAAGUUGCCAUGGAAGCCUAGAAAUUAUGCUAUGCUAACAAUAUAUAUGUAAACUUGGGUUAAAUGUAAAGUCGUAGAAACAUGAAUACAACAUGAGUUUGAUCUCUUGUAUUCCUACAUGAAGGAAAAUUCGACAUGCUCGGAAGUUUAGAUCGGUGUUCUGACGAGCCUACGGCAAGAUAGUUAGGAAAAACCUCAUUUUAGCUUCGUUUGUCGCAAGCGAGGGUUAUGAUCAUUCAUAAAUCGCGGGAAAUGGUUUUCUCGCGUCUCGGCAUCAUUUAAAGGUGGGUGGUGCUUUCCGAAGUAAUCGAAUGACCUAUUAUGUUUAUAUCACUUUCUUAAGCAUACAUGUAUUGUAUAUGUUUAGUGAUAUGAGCAUUAUAGGGUUGAGUUUGAUAUAUGACAUGGGGUCUAAUUGUAUGCUUUGAAGGCAGAAUCCAUAUGGACAAUGAUUAGUAAACAUAGAACCCUAUAGAUGUAUGAACUUGUGUUGGACUAUGAAAUAGUUGAUGAAGUGACAUUGUUAGUAAAUAGCAUGAAUAGCACCGAGUAUUGUGAAGGUUAAAUAAGGACAAUGAACUUGUAAAAUGUGUGGCAUUAGAACUAGAUGAAUUGAUUAGCAUCUAGAAUUGGAUAUGUAAACCUAGCAUAAAGAGCUAGUUAAAGUGUGGCAUUGUCAGUGUAUCCUCUAAGUGAGGAUUGGAUCAUACUCACAUAGUCUAAUGCUCGAGGUAAAGGUCGCUCCUCCUUGGACGAUGAGCUCCGGAGUGUGUCAUCAACUGGGUUGGUAGCGGAGUUCUCCCCAGUAGACGGUCCCAUCGGGUUGGUAGCAGAGGUCCCCCCCUCCCCCCCGACAAAAAAGGAUUGGUUGGUGAGUUGUAGUUAACCAAGGGGUUAACUAAGUUGAUUGGAUAAUGAUAAUAUGAUAGCAUGCAUGCAUAAGACUCUAUGAGUUAUAUAUGUUGUUUCUUUCCAGCUUUGUACAGGCAUUGUAGUAGAUGCAUGAUAUAGUUGGUUACUAUCUGUUCUCUUUCCUUGCCUACAUAUGCCUGAGUUAAACCUAGUGGGUGAGUCGGCGAGGUCGGCAGCCGAACCCACUGGAAACUUUCAGUAGUUCUCACCCCACUAACCAUGCAGGUUCUAGCAAGUGCGGGGUGGUUGAGGAGCGUGACAAGGACAGCUCACAAUAGAUAGCGACAUCCAUUGAGUAUAGCUAUACCUUGUAUAUUUCAUCUAUUUAUUGUUGACGAAAUGAAAAAUGUAAAUUAUUCAUUUGAAAGAUAGCAAAUGUAUAUAUGUUGGAAGAAUGAAUGUAUGCAAACAAAUGACAAGCUUUGUAUUUAAUUUAAAGUAAUCAAGAUACAAUGUAUGAAUGGUUUAAUUAGUUUACUUUCACUUGCUUAUGUUGCUUACCCUCGUGUAAGCCAUGUAUAUUGAAAUUUUUUCUGGGCAUUUUCUUAUACAUGUUUGAUAGUUGUCGUUGAGCCUUGGGCGAACAGAAGAGGUUCUGUUCGUUCGGCGUCUGUGUACGGGCCUGAACCGACCAAAUUGGUGGUUACGGGGCAUGACAGAUUAAAUGGUAUCAGAGCAAUGCAAAGUGAAAGUAUAGGAUGGACCUAGGAACCUUAGGAUGGAAAACCAUAAAGAUCUAGGUUCGUGAGAGAUGAGAACCUUGAUAUGUGGCGAAAGAUUAAAUCGAUUGGGUCGUGUGUUGUAUACCUUUAAAAUGGAUGUUAGAGUUGAAUCCAAGGUGUAGUUUAUUCUCAGCAGGGAGAGUUCAUGUUGGAUGCAUACAACAUGAAACCGAGUGAUGAGAAUAUGCUCCCUUGUAUGACUUUCGCCUGAUUUGAGUUUAGGUUGAUGAUAGUUGUCUCGUGCUUGACCUUGAGUGUCUAGAAUUGGUCGAGUCGUUGUGCGUUUAGUGGUCUUGUGUAGCCGAUCUCUUAUGAGAUCGAUGUGGUUCGGGAUGAGUGAAAUCCCUGAAUUGACUGAGCUUGGAGGAAACUCGAAGUUCUGGGAUCGAUUAGUCACACCUGUGGUAGGGUUGAGGCGACGAGUCGUCUGAUGCAAUGUGAGCAGGAGGCUGUUUUGUGUUUGGUGGAUUUAGUCAAUGGACUCCAGAAGGCUGUGGGUAGUUGAUAACCACACAAUUUGUGGCUUGUUGUGUGUAGCUAGAAGUGGUGGUAAAGGUUAUUUUGUUGGAAUCAGGUAAUGAGGCUCCUGACUUUGUGAUGCAGAAAGCAAGGUGAGAACAGUCGUGGAUAACCCUUGUGGCCUUCAAGAAGGUUUAGUUCUCUACCUUCGAUGGAGGAAUAUUGUGGGUAGAGAAUUGUGGAUUGGCUUCAGGGAAAUUCUCCCUGGAAGGAUUUGUACAUUUGGAACAGAGUAUAGAAUAUGCUCUUGGAAUAAACGACAAGUGAACUUCCGGAUAAGUUGUGGAAGCUAUAGCAGGGUGACUGUUUAGUGAAAGAGUAUGUAGAGGAAUUUUUUCUGCAUGUUGAAGGGUGUUUAGUAUACAGUGUGAGAUAUUGGAGAAAAGGCCGGUUCUGGUGUGUGAAGACUUCUAAACAAUGUGUCGGAGUUGUGCAUUUCUAUAAUUUGCAAACUUCUGGCGAAAUCGUAGACCGGGCCUUAUGGGUAAAAUAAGGUGGUAUUUCGCGCGGAGGAAACGCGAAUGGAUUAGUUGAGAAUGGGGGACGAGCGACUGAUGUAUGGUUCGGGUGGUCAAUCAAGUGUUAAGCGACACCCAGAAGAGAAUUGCAGUCGCGAUUUUAAAGUUCGAAAGGGUCUUUUGACUGACUUUUUUGAGAGAAAUGGUUGUGGUGACUUUCACCCGGCGCAGACGUGUGUGUUGUUGGAUAGGUGAAGUUGUAAUAGGUUGACUUUGAUAAGAAGAAUGUAUACUUGGGGACAAUGUAAACUCUGAGUAGUACAUACAAGAAUGUGAUGGAGGAUUAGGUUGGGUGGAUAUAAUACCCUAGCAUGCAUAGAUGACGAAAAUGUAUCGCCUAUUGUUUGAAUAGGCAGUUGGAUAGUGCCAAUGAGUGGCUUGUAGUGAGUUGAGGUUAGAGCUCGGGAUGAGUGGAACUGAUGAACUAACUCUUUAAGCAUUAAGAGUGAUAAUGAGAGUCGGGUUAGGAUGUUGGAAGACGCUUCUAAAGUUCGAGAAUUCGGAUGAUGUUCUGAUGGAUCGUGUAGUGGUAAUAGCGUCGUUGUGGUAGAAUGGUUAGAUGAUCACCUGGUUUUGGCGAGUUGAUUGAGUUAUACCUCAAAUAAGUUGACGAAAUUUGUGUUUAUGUGUUGUGGGCGUAGGCUAGGUUGCCUAGCGAGUGAUAUCUAGUGAGAGGCGUGAUAGUGUAGGAUGCUUGAGUAUAGCUGUUCGUAGAGUGUGGAUUGUGGCUUAGCCGAGAGAGUUUGUUGGCAGUAGCACUUGAGCGUUGCUUGGUGUGAAGCAUGUCGGAUCAUUGGCGCUAACCAUUAAUCCCAAAAGCUCGAGCUGUUAGAAAUAUGCAACCAAUUCACUUAAAGCGUACAGAAACAGCGCCCACGGGUCUCGAUUGUGACUCGGCCCACUUGGCCUCACGCAACUUCGAACAUGACUCGGCCCAACCCAGCCUCACGCCAUUUCGAACAUGACUCGGCCUACAUGGCCUCCCGCCACAGGGCAGGAUGCUGGCCCAUUUGCGCCAACAAUCCCCCCUACAGCACCUGCACAUAUUUGCAGCAUGCAGGAAUCGAACCCGUGACCUCUGGCUCUGAUACCACUUGUCGGAUCAUUGGCGCUAACCAUUAAUCCCAAAAGCUCGAGCUGUUAGAAAUAUGCAACCAAUUCACUUAAAGCGUACAGAAACAGCGCCCACGGGUCUCGAUUGUGACUCGGCCCACCUGGCCUCACGCCACUUCGAACAUGACUCGGCCCAACCCAGCCUCACGCCAUUUCGAACAUGACUUGGCCGACAUGGCCUCCCGCCACAGGGCAGGAUGCUUGCCCAUUUACGCCAACAAAGCAUGCCAUGAAUCACUUGUGGGGCUGAUGGCUCGCACUAGGUGCUUAGGAGCAGGUAGUAAUGCGAGUUGCUCUAUUGAGCAUGUCAUGUGUGACGACGAUUGAGAAUGUUGUUUGGGGACGAUCCGUGCCUGGACCAUGUGUGCGCUCUGGGGCCUACAGCCAUUUGGAUAGGCGCAGUCGGCUGUGUGUGACAGCGGCUCGAUACCUGCGGGUAGGGCAGAGGUUUUUGUCGGGGCGGUAGUCCGAGUUUAGACUGGUAACGUGGUAUGCCACGUAUUGGAUCGUGUGAUUAGUGAUACAUCGAGAGUGUGAAUUUGACCCAACCCUAAAAUUUGUAAUGGUUUGGGAUUUGGACUGCUCCUGGUUGGAGUAGGUGUGUGAGGUCUCAAAUGGGGAUUUCGUCUUGUGAUGAUUGGGCCUACGUUUUCGAGUGAGAGACGCUGUGUGAUAUAGCAAUCAAGUUAGGUGAUAGACCUAUGUCGGAUCGGUGGUUUAUAAGCCAAUUUAUGAUAGUUGGGACAAACGGUUUAGCCGAUUAUUCUCGAAAUGCGAGUAUUGGGUGUGAUGUUGUGGAUCGGGGGUAGUGACCAUAGGAGCGAAAGCUCGGUCCGACUGUUCGCUUGUUUUGAAUCAUCGAGUUAGGCUCUGACGAUGAGUUGGAAUUAGAGGCACGAACAAAGUGUUCGUGGGGACUUGUUGGGAGAGAUUGGUAUAGCGUGGAACGUGGCUUAGAAAGUAAAAUAUUUUUUUGAGAUUGUCGUGUAGUGAAAGCCACGUGAGGUUUGGAGGAUUAUGCCCUCAAGUUGCUAAAGUUGUGGAGGUGCUAGAAUGAGCCAUUUCGUUGAGGAGUGGAAAUUCGUGUGUGGUUAAGUACUCACAAUUAGAUCUAUAUGUAUAGGUGUGGUUUAUGGUGGAAAGCAGAGAGGGUUGGUUUUGUCGUAAAUCGGCGACCAAAUAGGACGAAACUAAAUACUAGAUUCGAUGCCCCAGUAGUGUUGAACUCGCUGGCACGAUCCGAUCGGAAAUCCGACGGACGGAUCUUCGGGAAUCACAUAAUGUUCGUUGAGGGGUCGAAAUUGGCAAAAUAGAAAAAUUGAGAAAAACCCAAUAUUUUAUGUACUGUUUUGCGUGAUUUUGAACGACGAGGUGCGUAUGCGCAAAUUACGCGCACUGGCAGGGACUGGGUUGAAAAUAUACAGCUUCGGAGGGCUUUUCUGCAAUUAUACACCUACGUAUAAAUUAGUGUUAAGGUUCCCACAUGAAAUCCUAACCCUAGCCCAUCCCAGCUAACCCUAGGAUACCCUAGCCGACACCACCUCCUCCCUGCCCUCGCCGUGCACGCAUCCCGGCCACCGGCAAGCGCCCCCGGCCGCCGAAAACCGCAGCACCUCCCUCUCAACUCAUCUCCUCCAUCUAUCCACCACCACCCUCCUCGGUCGUUGAACUCAGGGAACAGCAAACACCCUCAGAGUCUUCAUCCUCUGGCCAAGACCCACCUCCAGCACCGUCCCCGCCGGCCCCCGCCAUACGCGUGCGCUGCCGGCGCCGCCUAUGCAACCUGCGGCUAGCCCGAGUCAGCUCAGGCCGAGCUCAGUUAAGCUCGAGGCUCGCAUGCUGUAGCUGCCCUAGCUCAGCCGCCCCGACUCUCUCAGGCCUCCGGCGACCUCCUGCUUGUCGUCCCGUCGUCUCGGAGCGCCGCCGGCCACCGCUCGUGCUCCAUGCGACCACCCUGAACCAGUGCGGGCUGAGCCGAGGCCAACUUGGCCUCUGUGCAUCGCCGCCGGCCACCGCCGGUCGCUCUGCCCUCCCUCGGCCUCCGGCAACCGGUCGCAGUCGCCUCCGGCCGCCGCCCGGCCACCGUUGUUCCCUGAACCCGAGCUGAGGCUAUGCGGGCUCGAUCUCCAUCGCCGCGCCACCAGCCACCUCCCGCCGCUAGCCAGCACGCGCCCCGGCCCCCACUGACCGGCCGCACCCGUCUCCGGCCGGCCCGCCUGCCGUCCGGCCGCCGCCGGCCACCCUGGGGCUCCAAAUUGCUCCGAUGAGUUUUUAACAGUAUUCUGCACACUGUUUUGGGGUUCCGGUUGCCUGUCCGGCGAUUAGAAGAUACCCCGAUGCUCCCGGAAGUGAGCACGAUGAUCCCUGCAUUGUGCUGAACAUUGUGCUUACCUCCGUUGGGGUCAGUGAUGCCCCGGUUUGUGUGUUAGACGCAAUUUAGGCAUUAUGCGCGUUGUUUCACUAAAGUUCGCGUCGCUCGCGCGCUCACCACAAUGGUCGGCAGUGCUCCGAAGUGUGAGCACGGCCCCCAGCACGCCGAGACCUAUCAGCGGGUGUCUCGGCUUGGCUGAAUGAUCCUCGGCUUGCGCUGUCGGGCCAUAAAACCCCGAAAAUCACAUGAAAAAAUAUGAUUUUAUGUAGUCACGAGGUUUUUUUUUUAUGCAAUUGUACAUUUUGUGGUCGCUGUUGGCAACGUGUGCGGGCUUUGUGUAACCUCUAGACUGAUUGUCCAAGACCUUAGGCCUUUUCGGAGAUCGAAAAUUGAUUUUCUGUGCUUUUGUCAGCAAAAUCCGCCGACGGAACGUGUUUUCGGUUCGGAAUUAUCCGACGGUGCCUCACGAUAAUUUGUGUCGUCGCUGAGCCUUGUUGGCUGGUCACCCGCGUCAUUUCGAGGGUACGAAAAUGACGGGUGAGCGACGGUGGGUUCCGAUGUCGAAUUGGACACUUCCAGGAACCCGGGUCGGAAUGAUUAUCCGAUGAUAAUCGUUUCGAAGUAAGAUAGUGUAUUUGCUGCCAAGUCACACGAAAAUAUGUGUUUAGUGGUAGCUGGUGACUCGUAGCAGGAGUCGGUGAGUUCCGGGACAGUUCGUGGGUCCCGGCGGAGUCCCAGUGCGAUUUUCGGGACUUCUGGCGUGUUACGGUAAUCGGUUUUGGGAAACCGAUUUCCGUAGGUUUAUUGGUGGGGAUUGUGAGUUAGUGGUUCGUGUUUGUGGGUUGGAUACUAACCCGGUGGACCCUUCGUAGGUUCGAUUGACUUUCUUCCGCAGUCGGGAGAUCGGUGCUACGUAUGUAUAGGUAGGUACUUCGACCCGAAGUCGGUACAGUGGUGCACGCUCGGUGACAUUCCCUUCACUCUUUCCUUGUUGUUUAUCUUGCGUAUUAUAUGUUGAGCCUAGCACCUAUACCAUGCUUCUUUAUUGCUCUACUUAGUUGGUUGCAUACCCAGUAUCUAUUUUAGAAGUAAAGCGGUUUUGUGAUUAUCAGUGAGAUCUAUGACCUAGUCGGUCAGUUCGUAUUGUGACCUAGUUGGUCGGUUCUUGUAUCUCGUACCUGUGACCUAUUCGGUCGAUUCACUGCAUCCGUUAUUAUGAUCUACUUAGUCGGUUAGACUACUUGGUGACCCGUGCGGUCUGUAUACCCUGAGGGGUUGGAUUGUCGGCUAGUUGUUGAUGUUUUGUGACCUAGUCGGUCGGUUAUUAUAUCUCGUACUGUGACCUAUUCAGUCGAUUCACUGCAUCUGUUGUUGUGAUCUAUUUGGUCAGUUGGACUACUUGGUGACCUACGCGGUCAGUACACCCUGAGGGGUUGGAUUGUCGACUAGUUGCCGAUGUUUGGCUAUUGAGCAUAUCAGCAUCGAUCGCCACUGCUCGUACGCAUUUCACGAAUACCGGCGGUCUGAUCCACCGCAAGAAAGUGUUCUUUUCUAGAAAAGUGGUUGGGAGUGCCAGCUCGUGAGCCCAAGAGGGGUUAUAUGCAUUUAGACCCGGGUGCUUUAUGCGAGGGUCAUAUACUUUUAGACUCGGGUGCUUAUGCGAGAGUUAUUUACAGAUUAGAGUAGUUGUGGCAUAGGCCUGAGGUGUUGCGGACCAAUAUAGCUGUUUUCAGAUUGGGUAUUUUGGACUUGUCAUCCGGUUGAUGCAUACAUACAGUAGCGGUAGUUUGUUCAUUAUACCUCUUGUUCGUUUAUUAUUGUUGCUACUGUAUUACACUUACCCAUACCUUUGUUUAUUCUCCUUGACUUGUGAGUACCCCUUGCUUUCGUCGGCUUGCGGUACCUACUAGGAGAGGAGACAUGUUUACAUGUUCUCACCCCCCACCCUCAUUAUAGGUGACGUCGCGGGUCCUAGUGGGACGGUUUGUGAGGAGCGCAGUUAGCGAUCGGUAGAGCUACCGUCCCGUCAGUUGGUUAAAUUCAAAUUCAGUCUCUUUUAGUAAUGACUUAGAAUGCAUUUAUAGUUCAAUAUUUCAUGAUAAUUGAAUAAUUGGGAUUUCGUGAAUGUAAUAAAGGAUUUGUGAUUCUUGCAAACUGAAAUAGUUUUCCACCCCUCGUGGUAGCGAGCUUUAAAUGGAAAAGGUUUUUGUGUGGGAAACAGUUUUUAAAAGGUUUUCUCUUGGUUUUCAUGACUUUGUAUUUCAAAACGAGUUUCCAGGUAUGAAAUAUUUUAAAGGGAUAAUUACCUAUAUACCCCUCAUGCGUCUGGAAAUAUCCGAUCUACCCCUACUUUUUUUUUCUUUCAUAUGUUCCACCGUUAUUACAAAAUACCCCCGCAGUUAUCUCCUGUUAAGUUAACCUUAGUUAAACGUGAGUUAAAUAUCUAUCACAGUUAAAAAAAAUUAAAAUGCCAAUUUUGCCCUUAACUUAAGGGCAAAUAAGAAAGGUUGGUUACGGUAGAGGGGUAUAUUGGAAAAGACAAAAAGUUGAAAUACUUUUUGUGCCCCUGACUUUAAGGGCAAAUAAGAAAGACAAUGAUGGUGGAAGGGUAUAUUUGAAAAGGGUAAAAUAGUAAUUUUACAGAGAUAACAGUGUUGCUUAACAGAUUUUAACUCUAAGGGUAUAUUAGAAAUAGGUUGGAACGUAGGAGGGGUAUUUUCAAUAUUAGCCUUCUAAGAGGGGUAAAUCGAAAAGUCGGAAACUUUUCAGGGGUAUAUAAGAAAUUGCCCCUAUUUUAAACUAAUAGUUGUGGACUUAUGGAUAAACUCUGAAUGUGAAUAUGAAUGUGAAUGGUGUAUGAAUGUGUGUAUAUUCAUAUGUGGUGAUUGUAUCCUGUAUUAUAUGUCUUGUACUUGUGUGACGCCGUGCAAAUACAAGGGAGAUUCUGUCCGUGUGAACAAUGGACUCCCUAUAUUUGUGGCGGAUCUGGCAUAUCCUGGGGGUCAGGUUUUUCAAAAAAAAAUUUGGGCACUUCCGCAAUGACUUUUAUACCAAAAAGGGACCCCGAGGCGUGACAAUCUUAUACUUGUGCGAUGCCAUGCAAAUACAGGGUAGACUCUAUCCGUGUGAAUAGUAAAUUUUCUGUAUUUGUGGCGGAUCUGACAUACUCUGGGGUCAAGGUUUUCAAAAAAAUAAAAUAAAAUUGGGCACUUCCGCUUUGGCUUUUAAAUCCAAAAAAGGACCCCGGGGCAUGACAGAUUAAAGUGGUAUCAGAGCCAGUUCACCAGCCGAAAAUGUGUGGCGAGUUUCGGCUGAGCCAGGGUCUGAAAGACAAGGUGAUAGGCUAUACCGGAGUCUGAAUGACAAGGUGACCGACUAUGCCAGGGUCUAGAUGACAAGGCUAGCAAGACGAAUCUCACAUCGCCUGGUGAUCUUUGGUUGUGUGUGUGAUUGGACUGACAAGGAUGCCAGAGCCUUAACGGGGGGAGUUUGUCACACCCCAAUAAUCCCACAUCGGAUAGGAAUGGGGAUGUGAUUGGGUAUAUAAGAAACUUAGACACUGGUAAUAAUAAUUGGGCUUCAGCAUUUUGGGCCGGUGGUUGGGCCCAACGAGUUAUUAUUGCUAGUGGGACGGGUUGUUACAUCCAGUAUCUAUAACUACGUUAUUGCUUCUAAUCCUUUUGUUGUGAUGUCAAGUUCUUUUAAUUUAAGGUACUAUAUUUUCUUAUGAUAUUAGUGUUAGGAUUUGGUUAGAUUUGUGGUUAGAUUUGUAGUUAAUUUUCUAGUUGGAUAAGAAUUAAUAUUUAAAUCUAUUGAAGAUAAAUUAAGAUUUAAAUAUUAAUUAAAGUAUAAAUGUAACUAAAUUAGAAUAAAUAUUUAAAUUUAUUGGAGAUAAACUAAAUAUAAAUUUAAAUAUUAUUUGGAGUAGGAAUCCUAAUUGUCCUAGGAUUUGGGUACAUCUUGGGUGGAGCCUUAUAUAUAGCUCCAUGUAUGCAAAUUGUUGAACGAGCCUAAAUGAUGUAAGGAUGAGAGAGAACCUUUUAUGGUGGUGACCGUACCGUAGAGAAGCCUAGGCCCAAUUGUGUGCACCUAGUGCACGGGUGCAUGUGAGAGAGAAAGAGAGUUGUCACUACAACAAAAUUGUCUUUUAGCGGUAAUUAUCUCAUAGAUUAGCGGCGAUUAUAAUCGCUGCUACUCUAUUUACCAGCAAUUGUAAUAAUUGCCACUAUAAAUCGGGUCGGUAAAAGUUUAGUGGCAAUUAUAUUGGCGGCCGGUAAAGAGCAAAACAAUUGCUACUAAAGAUUACUCUAUACCGGAAAUUAAAAAGGCCACUAACGCCAAAAUACAUUUGCCCAUAAAAUAUCUAACAUUAAUCACAAAUGCUAACAAAGAUAAGAUAAAUAGCCACUAAAUAUAAAAAAUAUUAAAUCAUCAUUAAAGUCAUAUAUUCAAUUAAUCACUAUAAAAAUUUCAAAAGAUAAUACAUAAACAAUAAAAAUAAAAAACCCAACAUUUCAUGAAUAUCAAAUAAGCUGAAUAUAAAAGUCUAUUACAUUAUCAAAAGUGUUGCGAGUACAAAUAAAUGUCAAAAUCAAUUUUUAUCACAAAACAAAUGUAAUUAAAAAGUUUUAUAGGCGAAAGGAAAGUUCUAUGCGCUCCAAUAGAAAAGUUCAAACUACACUUUACAAAGACUCAUCCUUCAAGAGUGAAGAUUCCAAUAGAAAAAAUUCAUGGGCUUAAGAAGAAUAAUCUGCAAGACAAAUAUAUAAGAAUAGCGGUUAAAAAAUUAUUAACAAAUAUGUUAAGAAAAUAUAUUUAGAAUAUACAAGAAAUUCUAGAUUACCAUGUCACUAAACCGAGGUGUACGAAAAAGAACUAAAGCAUCCUACAUUUUGUGCAACUUUGUCAUAAUGGGCACUCGAAUCAUCAAGAACCUAUUUUACAGCCAUAUAAGAAAAACAACUUACAACAAUAUCUUCUCAUCUACCAUUUGAAAUUGAAGAAAUGCAAUUUCAAAAAAAAAAAAGGAAAAUCCUCAAUAGUAGCUAUAAUUUUGGCAUCUGGUUGUUAGGAACUAUUACAUCACCAAAGAAGAUUAUAUCAAAAGAAGUAAAUUAGAAGAUCCAAAUGACAAAAUAAAGAGAGCUUGUUGUUAUCUAGACAUGACCAGUGUUACGGUUAAAAUGAUCAAACGAUGUGAUGUCAUAGUAAGCUAAAUGCAAUCAACUUUAUGGAGAAGAAUAAUUUAAGCUUUCGUUGAUCAACAUAGAACCCUGAUCUCAAAUACAGAACUAAUUUGCUACUGCGGUACAAAUAUCUAUCUAUAAUACACCAAAAUGUCUUAAAAAAGCAACAUAACAAAGAAAAUUAAAUUGUACCUUUAUUUUGUGAUGACUGCCAAUUAGAAGAAGCUUGUCUGCACUUUGCAUGUUAGUUAUUACCACCUGAGAAACAAAUUAAAUGCAAAGCUAAAACUGAUUGUUUUGGAAAUUGAAAAAUCAACGACAUUGUUACCAAUCAUGAGCCAAUUAUACAACAAAAGAACACACAUAUGCGACCUUAGCGAUAAGCAUGCAAAAAGUUAAUGUGGAAAAUAGAGCAAAAAGUUUAAUUAAGAUGCUAAACAUUACAUGAAAAACAGAAGUUGUGAAAAGCAAUCUAUAGGCUCUUGUUCUGCGAGAAUCACGUAGUGCCCAACAAGUUGCAUUAAUAUUCAUCUAAAUUUAGCUACGAAUACAAUAAAUAAGAUACAGUGUAAACUACGAGACGUUAACAUAAAUCUGUCUACUCAAUUGUCCAAAUAAGACUCAAAAUUCACUAAAUGGCCCACUAGUUGACAUCUAAUGAUUCUCGAACAUGCCCCAACUACAUUUUUCUCCCUUUUUACAUUCGAACUGAUCUUAUGAUUUCGUUGCACCUCCCUCACUGUUUGUUUGUGCUUUAGGCCUUUAGGCAUGAUUUUCUAGAUGGUUGAUGCCAUGUUGAGCAGACAACGAAAAUAUAAAAAAUGUUGUUGGGUCCUUAAUUUGAGUUAAGUGAGAAAAGGCUGUGAUGAUGAUAAAUACAUUCUUAAAUAUGAAGCAAAGAAACUCUACAUGCAAGUUAAGAAGACAAGCUGCUGAAUCUUGUCAAUAAGUAAAUCCGUCAAGUUACUUCAAACUUCAUCAUCAAAAUGUAUAUAAAAGAUGGCUUCUAUUAAUUACUCAUAUAGUAGUAUAACAAACCAAUUUAAAAGUUUGAUAUAUGCACAAGAGAUAGCAAGCAAAAACAUCAAGACCCAAGGCCUGACAAUCCACCUCAAAUCAAUUUAAAAGUUUAAUAUUGUACAAAUUACAAUGUCUUCCAAAUGAGGUUAAAAGGGAAAAGAAGUACUGUAGUGUCAAAUAACAACUGCGAAAAAAAUUGUUUCAGAACCCAAGAAAUGGAACACUUUCCCAUUGAUUUCGACCUCAUACGAUCCCAUGACUUCUUGAAUUGCACCACCAACAUCGCAAAGUCGUACAUCUAUCCCAGCUUCCCACAGAAAAGGACAAUAUUUCAACAAUAUGAAAGUUGACAUGGUUUUCACACACCAGUGUUUGCUAGGACUAGUACAUCAUUGACAAUCUAUCAUCUUUAGGGAUUGCAACAUCUGACAAUCAUCCAUCUAUAAAGAUAAAAUUAAUAAGUUGAAACUCCAGAACCAUAAUUAGCUAACAAAGUAAACUUAUCUAUAAUCUAUAAUGAUGAAAUCAAUGGACACCAUCUCCAUUCUGGUGCUUGGCUCCUAUAGAUCAAUGUGCUAUGAAGGACUGCUCAAGCAGUAGAAAAUGACUAUCAAAGAUUCAGCAAUGAUCAAGUACAUGUUGGUCGAUGAUUGCUUCCUAAUUGUUGCUAAUCAGUGAACCUGGAACUUAAGACAUAACGGGCAGGAACACACUAUAUACUCCUUGGUUAGUUAGGCCUUUCAAUUCGUAAAUGCACGUGAAGCUAACAAGUUAGUGAAAAAGAAUCACAAGCUCUAUUCUACAUGCCCACCCAUCCACCCAUCCCAUGUGUUAUAUUUGGUUUAGAUUUGUAGUUAUCUAAAUUGGAGUUAAAUCCUAAUCUAAUUGGGAUUGGAUAUAAUUUAGAUUUAAUUUGGCAUAUAUGGAUUAUGAGUCGGAAUCUAAUUUCUAAUUGAAUUAGGAUUAGACUCUACUUAGGAGACAUGUAUUAUAAAUACAUGCUACGGUCAAAUUAAUCGUCGCGACUCAAAUUAAGGGCCAUGCAAAUUAAUUAAAUUAAGGGUGGUCAUGUUGCGGCUGCGCGCGGUGUGAGAGCCUCUGUUGGGAUCUAAUUAAUGAAGGCAAUGUUGUGCAUAAGAAGCCAUGCUAAUUAAACCGCAUGUUCGAGAGAGUUGACCAAGCUUGGUGGUUCGUACGGUAUGAGGAGCCGUGGUGUUAAUUAAGCCGAGCCACGUUGGAGUUGCUUGUUGCGGCGUUUCCGAUCUAUUUAGAGUUCGGGGUCUUUUUGUUAUAUUUGGUUUAGAUUUGUAGUUAUCUAAAUUGGAGUUAAAUCCUAAUCUAAUUGGGAUUGGAUAUAAUUUAGAUUUAAUUUGGCAUAUAUGGAUUAUGAGUCGGAAUCUAAUUUCUAAUUGAAUUAGGAUUAGACUCUACUUAGGAGACAUGUAUUAUAAAUACAUGCUACGGUCAAAUUAAUCGUCGCGACUCAAAUUAAGGGCCAUGCAAAUUAAUUAAAUUAAGGGUGGUCAUGUUGCGGCUGCGCGCGGUGUGAGAGCCUCUGUUGGGAUCUAAUUAAUGAAGGCAAUGUUGUGCAUAAGAAGCCAUGCUAAUUAAACCGCAUGUUCGAGAGAGUUGACCAAGCUUGGUGGUUCGUACGGUAUGAGGAGCCGUGGUGUUAAUUAAGCCGAGCCACGUUGGAGUUGCUUGUUGUGGCGUUUCCGAUCUAUUUAGAGUUCGGGGUCUUUUGAGAGAUUUUCUUGUACUCCGCCUUUUCGACAUUAAUAAAUUAUUUGCUCCGUCUUCGCCCGUGGACGUAGGCCGUUGGCCGAACCACGUAAAUAUCGGUGUGUUCUUUCCUUAUCUUUUCUUUUCUUGCAUUAAAUUAUUUUUCUGGAUCUAUUUUUCGCCGUUCCGAUUUCAACACCAUGCCACCCCAAACCCCCAACCAUAAUAGAGAAAUAAAAAAAGGAGGACAAAUUUUCUACCGUAGUUCCAUACCUUCAGUUGCAAAUACAUUGAAUCCUGCAGUUCAACAAAAGUUGUCUAACUAUAGCUCAACUAAAGAAUCAGAAACUCCUUGUUCCAGCAAAUAUCGAAAUUAUGAAAGAACAAUCAGUAGGUAGUCAUAGGAAAACUAAAGACAACCAGAUAACAUUUACGGAACUCUUCUAGUAGAUAUUUCAAGAAAUAACAUCUACAAUAAGAAUCUUGCAAAUUAACCUGCAUAGGAAGUAAGAAAUCAAAAUAUACUAUACGGGGCCCAUUUUACCAUAAAAUAUUCAAAAGAAAAUACUAGAAAAUCAUAAAUGACUAUCAUGACAUUACGUUAAAAAAGAAAGACUAGAAUGGGAUGGACAUUACAACAAAAACGGUCUGUAGCGACACUUUUAAAUGUAGGUACAUGUCAAAAAAGUGCUGCUAGCUAAAAUUACCGACACUUUUAAAAAGUGUUGCUAUAUGUGGGGUCGCUAGGUAUAUAGUGACAGUUAAAGAGUGUCGCUAUAACCUAAAAGAGUGCUGCUAAUUUACCAACACUUAUUUAAGCAUUUAGCAACCGCCGAAACUCUAUAUCGUUGGCUGCGGUGGCGGAGGAGGACGACAGGAAAGGCUCUUUGUCUAGAAUUUUAGUAGAUUGAGUGAAGAGAGAAGAAAAGAUGGUAAUUAAUUUUUCUUUUUUUUUUUCUUUUCUGUUUGUAAUCGGGCCAAAUGGACUGGGUGUGGUGGGUUGAGUAGAGUAAUCUUUUAUUUUUGGUUGGAUUGGACUUUAUAUUUAGACAUUAGUAGAUGUUUUUUUAAGUUUUAGGAUAAAUGGAACACUUACUCAAAAGUGUCCCAAACAUGUGUCCCUAUAAUCUAAUUCUGUUGUAGUGGGACAAGCCCCCCCAAAAAAAUGAUAAAAAUAAAAGAAGCAUCUGUGCUGAAUUUGUGUUUCAUUCUUUAUCUACAAAAAUGAUGCUGCUCGUCUGAGACAGCUUUAACACUCUCUUCCUCCAGCUUCAUCAAGAAGAGAGAACAUGGUUGUCAAUAUGCAUAGCUGAUACAGGAGAUGCCACUUCGAUUGAGUUAACUAUGGAAAACAUUAAUAUAGUGCUUUACUAAUCCACAAAUACUGAGAUUUAGAUGUUCACCACAUUCAUUCUGCUAGCUUACCAUUUUCAUCAUAUGUUUGUUAGAGGAAUUUGAGAAAUAGAUGAAUAACAGGAUGGAAAAAAAAGAAAAUUUGUUACCAUUUUCAUCAUAUUCUUGAUUUUUUGCAUGGUCUAUCACAUAAGACGAAAAAAAUCACAUAAUAAGAUAAAAUUAUUAAGAGAGUAUGAGCAGAGAUUUAUCGGUUAAGCCCCGUGGAUAUACCUUUGACAGCAAUUGACAUGAACGCCCAACUGGUAGUCAGACAAUAUGAAACAUUCUUAGUUCAGAGACACUAACAGAAGGCAAAAUUUAAGUUAGGAAAAAAGUAUUUAUGCUAUAGUGUUGAGUUUUAAGGACUUUUUAAGAGAAUAGUAGACGAACCGAAGUGUUGUUUACCAUAAUUAAGCCAACUUUUCAUAACAAAUAGGCAUGUAGCAUUGUGUUUAAUUCUACUUGACCAAUCCUCCUUAGAUAUGAAGUGUUAUUAACCAGAAAUAAGCAUGCGUUUACAUGCAAUCAAUGCUUAUAGGAGCUACCACUAAGAUCAACAGAUAAGACAAAUACGCACUCAAGACGACGAUGAAUUUGUUGAUUUUGCCACUAGAGUCAACAACAUUCCUACAACCCAUUCUGUAGGCAAAGCUACGAUUCAGGAAGGCUCCAACAUACAAACAACGAGUUUUAUAUUCACCAAAUAUAAUUAUACAUCGCGAUUAUCAUACUAAAAUUAGUAAACCCAGUAAGAGAUAUAAAGGAUACUGCAAAUAAAGCAAGUUAGAAACUUAAAACAAGUCCCAAUCCGACCUCAAAACCAAUAGCAGCACAGCACAAGUGUUUGAUAAAAUGCAUGCAUCAGAGAAAACGAAUAAGAAUUAGACCACCAUAACACACGAUCCUUACCGAGAACUACAUGAAAACGAAUAAGAAUUUUUGUAAUGAUGAAACAAAAAUAAGAUUUUAGAUUUUAAAUGCAGAUGCUUAGAGAUGUAAGGGUGUUGAAAAGACAAAAACAUCCUACAAGAAUAUAUACAGUUGCUCAUAAACUGAUGCUAAAUUAUAAAGCACAAAAAGCUGGGAACUCUUAACCAGAUAUUCCAGAUUUGUAUGGGAUUUCAUUUUAAACAAAUAGCAUAAUUUUUCUAGAGAAUUAAUUCAUUACUAGAGCAUUCAAUUAAUUAAUUAAAACAUUAUUGGAGUAAUGUGAUUUGUGUUUCUUUCACUAGUGAACUGGUAUACAUUCAUUCAGCUCAUACAACCAUCUACCGCCACAGCCCAUUGAAAACAACUAAAAAGAACACUAUUUAAUCAUAAGCAUGUUCAGAAGUUAGAAAUUCAGGACAUUCUCUUGUAAGCUAACACCAGCUGUACUGUUAAAACACGAUUCAAUUUUCAGUAAGGAUGUAGAAUAAAAAAGAUAGAUGAAGAAAAACAAGAGGUAUAACAGAGAAAACAAAUUCAUCUAAUAUGCCAGGAUAGAAAUGUGAAAGAAAAUGUUGCAUAUUUAAUAAGUUUGAAACAUCUGUUGGCAGUAAACUAUGCAGAGGUUGCUUGCAAAAGAUCAUGAAAGGGAUAAAAAGGACAGUAGUGGAGAGAGAUUAAGAUUCAACUACAAUUGCCGAACUGCAUAAAUGAAAACUCUUAUUAGUAUAGAGCCCUUCAUACUCAUAAGUUGUUUUCAAUGAUUGAGCUUCUGAAUCAAUGAUCCACUCCAUUAAAUAUGAUCUAGAGUAUUUGAAACUUCUAGAAAAUAAAUUUCGUAAUUUUUCAAAAUCAUAAUAAAGUUCAUCAAGCGGAUAUAAAAUGAACGGUCAAAAUCGAACGACGUCCUAAAAAUAGAUGAUCGGAUCCUUCAAUUUAAGAUCGGAGUUAUUGAUCUUUAUCUAGGUAGUGAAUAGAAUUUUCUAUCAAAGAUUCAAAUGAUUCUGAUUCUUUUACACCGUUAAACUAUCAAGUAUCUCAUAUCGGCCGUUAAAAAUUAUCAAUUUUGUGACCUUUUGAUCGAAAGGUAAUGAUGUUGAAAAAUUAUAAAAUUUGAUUUUUAGACAUUUUAAAUGCUUUAGAUAACGUCUAAUGGUAUGGAUCGUCGAUUCGGAAGCUCUAUCAUCGAAAACGACUUAUGAGUACGAGGGCGAUCGUACUCAUAAGAGUAUAGUAGCCGGACUCUAUAUAUCUAUAUAUAUGAAAAUUUCAAAUUCAAAUUUCAAAUUCGGAUUCUUAGGUAUUACAUUUUCUUUGUUAUUAUGUUUAUAAUUUAUCAUGUCUCAUAGAUAGUAAAACCAAAGUUAGAUAUUAAAUAUUAUCCACCCGCCGCAUCGCGUAGGUCACAAGACUAGAUUAUAUAUAUUUUAUAUUUUCAUUUAUUUAAUUAAUAGGAGUCAUUCACUAGUCACUUAAUAAGACUAGAGAAAAAAUUCCACCGAUUGCAUCGGUAAAAUAUAAAAUAUAUACUCUGACAAGUAGCAUUUAUCCGGUUAUAAAGAUAAAAUUGUUAGGAUUUUCAUAAAUUGUGGUCCAAUUAAUCAUAUUUAAAUUUAGAUUUACUGUAGAUAAAGGUCAAUCCUAAUAGAUAUACAACUACUUAAUAUAGUAUAUUUUAUUCCUAUCCCAUCUAUCUAAGUGUAACGACCCAGCCCACUAGCAACAAUAACUCGUUGGGCCAACAACCAGCCCAAAAUGCUUAAGCCCAGUUAUUAUUACUAGUGUCUAAGUCUCUUAUAAACCCAAUGACAACCACAUUCCCAUCCGAUGUGGGAUUAUUGGGGAGUCACAGACUCCCCCCGUUAAGGCCCUGACGUCGUCGUCAGUCCAAUCACACACACAGCCCAAGAUCACCAGGCGAUGUGAGACUCGUCUCGCUAGCCCGUCAUCCAGACCCUCGCUCAGCCGAGACUCGCCACACAUGUCCAUGUAAGGACUGAGAUUUUUACAGUGCAACUAAACUCUCUGUUGAUGAUGUUUAUGUGUGUAAUUUAAUUACAUAAGCACUCAUCAAGUUUCAGGAGAAAAUGAGCUAAAAUGGAGAAGUUACGCGAUUAUUAGUUUUCACUUAAGUGAAUAGUAACUCCGGUUUUUCGGUGAAGCCACGGAGUAGAGUUGGCUUUCGGCGCUUAUCGGACUCCGUUCAUAGCAAUCCAAUAGCUCGUUUCGAUCGGGUCAGCUAUUCUGGAACCAAUGGCACUGACGAAUUUCAGAUUCGAUGCACGGUUUUCGAGAAAAAGGAGUUUUACCNNNNNNNNNNNNNNNNNNNNNNNNNNNNNNNNNNNNNNNNNNNNNNNNNNNNNNNNNNNNNNNNNNNNNNNNNNNNNNNNNNNNNNNNNNNNNNNNNNNNNNNNNNNNNNNNNNNNNNNNNNNNNNNNNNNNNNNNNNNNNNNNNNNNNNNNNNNNNNNNNNNNNNNNNNNNNNNNNNNNNNNNNNNNNNNNNNNNNNNNNNNNNNNNNNNNNNNNNNNNNNNNNNNNNNNNNNNNNNNNNNNNNNNNNNNNNNNNNNNNNNNNNNNNNNNNNNNNNNNNNNNNNNNNNNNNNNNNNNNNNNNNNNNNNNNNNNNNNNNNNNNNNNNNNNNNNNNNNNNNNNNNNNNNNNNNNNNNNNNNNNNNNNNNNNNNNNNNNNNNNNNNNNNNNNNNNNNNNNNNNNNNNNNNNNNNNNNNNNNNNNNNNNNNNNNNNNNNNNNNNNNNNNNNNNNNNNNNNNNNNNNNNNNNNNNNNNNNNNNNNNNNNNNNNNNNNNNNNNNNNNNNNNNNNNNNNNNNNNNNNNNNNNNNNNNNNNNNNNNNNNNNNNNNNNNNNNNNNNNNNNNNNNNNNNNNNNNNNNNNNNNNNNNNNNNNNNNNNNNNNNNNNNNNNNNNNNNNNNNNNNNNNNNNNNNNNNNNNNNNNNNNNNNNNNNNNNNNNNNNNNNNNNNNNNNNNNNNNNNNNNNNNNNNNNNNNNNNNNNNNNNNNNNNNNNNNNNNNNNNNNNNNNNNNNNNNNNNNNNNNNNNNNNNNNNNNNNNNNNNNNNNNNNNNNNNNNNNNNNNNNNNNNNNNNNNNNNNNNNNNNNNNNNNNNNNNNNNNNNNNNNNNNNNNNNNNNNNNNNNNNNNNNNNNNNNNNNNNNNNNNNNNNNNNNNNNNNNNNNNNNNNNNNNNNNNNNNNNNNNNNNNNNNNNNNNNNNNNNNNNNNNNNNNNNNNNNNNNNNNNNNNNNNNNNNNNNNNNNNNNNNNNNNNNNNNNNNNNNNNNNNNNNNNNNNNNNNNNNNNNNNNNNNNNNNNNNNNNNNNNNNNNNNNNNNNNNNNNNNNNNNNNNNNNNNNNNNNNNNNNNNNNNNNNNNNNNNNNNNNNNNNNNNNNNNNNNNNNNNNNNNNNNNNNNNNNNNNNNNNNNNNNNNNNNNNNNNNNNNNNNNNNNNNNNNNNNNNNNNNNNNNNNNNNNNNNNNNNNNNNNNNNNNNNNNNNNNNNNNNNNNNNNNNNNNNNNNNNNNNNNNNNNNNNNNNNNNNNNNNNNNNNNNNNNNNNNNNNNNNNNNNNNNNNNNNNNNNNNNNNNNNNNNNNNNNNNNNNNNNNNNNNNNNNNNNNNNNNNNNNNNNNNNNNNNNNNNNNNNNNNNNNNNNNNNNNNNNNNNNNNNNNNNNNNNNNNNNNNNNNNNNNNNNNNNNNNNNNNNNNNNNNNNNNNNNNNNNNNNNNNNNNNNNNNNNNNNNNNNNNNNNNNNNNNNNNNNNNNNNNNNNNNNNNNNNNNNNNNNNNNNNNNNNNNNNNNNNNNNNNNNNNNNNNNNNNNNNNNNNNNNNNNNNNNNNNNNNNNNNNNNNNNNNNNNNNNNNNNNNNNNNNNNNNNNNNNNNNNNNNNNNNNNNNNNNNNNNNNNNNNNNNNNNNNNNNNNNNNNNNNNNNNNNNNNNNNNNNNNNNNNNNNNNNNNNNNNNNNNNNNNNNNNNNNNNNNNNNNNNNNNNNNNNNNNNNNNNNNNNNNNNNNNNNNNNNNNNNNNNNNNNNNNNNNNNNNNNNNNNNNNNNNNNNNNNNNNNNNNNNNNNNNNNNNNNNNNNNNNNNNNNNNNNNNNNNNNNNNNNNNNNNNNNNNNNNNNNNNNNNNNNNNNNNNNNNNNNNNNNNNNNNNNNNNNNNNNNNNNNNNNNNNNNNNNNNNNNNNNNNNNNNNNNNNNNNNNNNNNNNNNNNNNNNNNNNNNUACCGAAAAGAGGGUUUCCGCUCUUUGCUAUUCGUGCAUUUUUAAAACUCCUCGUGCUUGUACAAGUGAUCUGGAGAUAGGUGAGAGUUGUUUCUGUACCGUAACUGGUGUGUAGGGAAUUCAAAUUUGAAUUUGAAUUAAGAUUUAGGGUUAUGCUUUGGUAUAUGUGCGAUAUACGGAUUAAUUAGAGAGCGGAUGGGUUCCGUCGCGAAUCCGUGACCAAAUCGGACGAAUCAACAUUGUAGUUUUGAUGCCCCCGGUGCUGAACCCGCAAUGGUGCUGUCGGAUCGAAAAUCCGACGGACGGAUUCCGAAAAUUACGAGAUUUUCGCUGAGGGGUCAAUGUGGCAAAACGGAUAAAUCGCGAAGAGGCCCUAUAUUUUAAUGCGCCCAUUUUGCGAGAUUUUGAACGUCUAGGUGCGUACUCGCAAUAUACCGUGCAGUGAGGGACUGGACUAAUAAAAUAUUACCUCUGAGGACCUUUUGCAAAUGCAUAUAUAAUUGAUAUAGGUUGCUGUCUAGGGUUUCAUGGUGAACACCCUAGCUUUGGACUUUCCCUCACCAAACUGAACCCCCACCGCCCCAACUGCACCCUUGCCCCUGCCAUGCGCGCACACACAGCCGCCGGCAGGUGCUCCGGCCGCCGGGAAACCUCUCCUCCAGCACUUUCCCACCUAUUCCACCUCCUCGGCCAUGCAACCCUGAAGGAGCUUCACAAACACCUUUGUGAUACUCUCCUUGCCGAGAUCCACUCUCCGGGCGCCCGUACCAUGCGUGUCCCACCGCCGCGCACACCGCCGGCUUGCCGCCACAACCGCCGCGCCAGCUCGGGUCAGCACUAGGUCCGAGCGCGCCCAGCUUGGGGCGCGGCGUUGGACCCGCACAGCUUGCGGUCGCGCCUGAUCUCUGCCGGCUCCGCACAUCCCGCUCGGCCGCCGCCCGCCGCGCCGCCGUCCCGGAGCGCCGACGGAGCCGCCUAACUCCUCUGCGGCGACCCUCGGGUCAGACCAGACUGAGCACGCGGGUGGACUCGAGGCCCCAACGCCGCGCCACUCCAUCCGGCCGCGCCGUCAUCCCUGACAGCUCCGCGACCUCCGGCGUGCGUCCCGGCCAUCCGCCACCACGGCCGCCGCGCCCGAGCUCCUGGCGGCCGCCAGUUCGCAGAUCGGGCGAGGCGAGCCUCGUGCCUCGACUCAUCCGGACUCGGCUGACCAUGAGGUGAGAACUGUGAUCGGACUGAAUGGACGAUGCACGCAGUGCUCCACCUCCGGCGGGCAUCGGAACGGCCCCAGUCGCGAACAAUUGAGUCUAAACAGGUGACAAAGCGGAGAACAAGCAAAAACAUUGGCUUACGGCACAGGGCAGAGCUAGGGCUGGCCGUCGGCGGCCGACGGCGUGCGCUUGCGGAGCCAGGAAGAUGGGAGCUAGCUGGUCCAGGGGUCCCGGGAACCUGCUGGCCGUCGGUCGGAGGCCGCCGGUGGCUGCGGCGGAGGCGAUUACAUUCCUCCAACAGCUCUCGUCAGGAGGUCCGCUAGGCGGCCGGUCGGCGACGCGGAGGAGCUCCGGGCGGCGACGAUACCGUCGGCGGAGGCCUAGAGGGGGUGGUGCUCGCUCUCGCAUAGCGGCUGCUGACUUUGCGGAGGCCACGAGGCUCAGCGUCGCCCGCAUCGCGACUGGCGCCGCAGGAGCUUCGGGGCGGCGGCCGCGUGGGUCGGGGAUUGGCCGGGCGCACGCCGGAAGGCUCGCCGGAGGCUGGAGGGAUGACGGCAGCGGCCGGAUGGAGUGGCUGGCGGCGCUGCGCCUGCUGAGCCGACUCCGUGCUCAGUCUGGGCUGACCGUGGGUUGGGCCGCAGGGAGCUCAGGGGACUCCGUACGGCAGCUCACGGGACGCGGGGCGGCGGCGCGGCGAGCGGAUGUCGCGGAUGGCCGGAAGGAAGAUCAGGGCGAACCAAGCUGGGCGGUUCAUCUGAAAUUCGUCAGUGCCAUUGGUUCCAGAAUAGCUGACCCGAUCGAAACGAGCUAUUGGAUCGCUAUGAACGGAGUCCGAUAAGCGCCGAAAGCCAACUCUACUCCGUGGCUUCACCGAAAAACCGGAGUUACUAUUCACUUAAGUGAAAACUAAUAAUCGCGUAACUUCUCCAUUUUAGCUCAUUUUCUCCUGAAACUUGACGAGUGCUUAUGUAAUUAAAUUACACACAUAAACAUCAUCAACAGAGAGUUUAGUUGCACUGUAAAAAUCUCAGUCCUUACAGUCCAGUUGGUGAACUGGCUCUGAUACCAAAUGUAACGACCCAGCCCACUAGGAACAAUAACUCGUUGGGCCCAACAACCGGCUCAAAAUGCUUAAGCCCAGUUAUUAUUACUAGUGUCUAAGUCUCUUACAAACUCAAUAACAACCCCAUUCCCAUCCGAUGUGGGAUUAUUGGGGUGUCACACUAAAUUAAAUAGAAUACUAAUCAGACUUUGAUGGAAAGUCGAUCUGGACUCUAUAUAAAAAGGUAUUGGUCCUGCCACCUUCUCAAACACAUUAGGGUGAAGAAUUAUCAUCGGUUCCACACCAUACGGCAGAGGGCUUGAGAUAGGAGAAGAAAUCAAAUUACCCAAGUUCGGUUCGUGACUUCAAGAUCAUAGCCAAACUUCUCGCUUUCGCAGAUUGAUCAGAACAUUCUUCUCUAUGACCCUCUGUGAGUUAUUUUAUUUUAUGUGAUCAUGAAUUUUGGUAUGUAUUUAAUUUUCUUCUUAUUUUACAUAUCUAUAAAGGUCUGUCAAUUUGAAUCGAAGCCAAAACGAUAAGUUGAUAUUGUAUGCAUUAAAUAGUUGGAUUGAAUUAUGAUGAAUUUUGGAUUAAUUAAAUACACGAUUUUUGAUCUUUAAAUCUACUUAUAUUUAUUUUUUCCUCAUGGCAUGCCAUAUGAGAUUUUGACGCGUCAUAUGCCUUAUAGUUUAGUCGUGGUCGUACAUUAUUGCGGCUAUUUUUUUGGGUGCUAUGCAUGUUUGGACGAAAGCCAACUAAUUCAGAAGAUAAUAAUUGUGGAGGCCAAAUUAAUUAUCAUCAGGUUCAUGGCUAAUUAAUUAAGACUGUUGGCCCGGCCUUGAGGAUGUAGGACAGCAGGAGNGGCUUAAUUAAUUAGCAUACCGUGAGGCUAAUUAAUUAAGGUGCCCCAAGUGCACAUCCGUACGGCAAGAGAAGGUGCCACAGUCUCGCCUGCGACGUCUGGAUCGGAGUCGGCGGCGAGCGGAGGUUCUUGACCAAUUACUUGAGCAGUUCGGAUUCUUCGAAACAAUGAAAUAAAGAAUUUUGGUCAAAGUUUUAAAUACUUCUCUAAUUUGGUCUUCUCGGUUUUACGAAAGGCUUUGUUCGAUUUUAUAUAAACAUAUUGUCAACUUAAACUUCUUUAUUCUUCCAAAUUCGAUCUGUUGGAGCUUUUAUGUUUAUUAAAGCGACGUGAACAUAAAGAAUCCGUUCACAUAAGGUUUCAAUUUUGCAUACAAUAUUAAAUUAUCAUAAAUUUAUUUAUCUUAUGUUUGUGGUCAAAUUAGAAUAUAUAAAGUUUAAAUUUGAUUGCGAUAUUAUGUUUUAAAUUAUCACAUCUAUAUUCUUAUUUUGACCGGAUGAAUAUGAAAAUUAAAUAAUCAUAAUUGUUUUUUGAUUAUUUAAUGUUUGGCGCUAAGUUAAAUUAUUUAAUUAUUUCAAUUAGUUAGGUGCAACCAAAGCAGCCCUAAUUAAAAGAAUAAUGAUUUAAUUUGCUUUAAAGUAGUGCUUCCAGAUAAUUUUCAUAUUAAUCAUCCAGCACUAAAUCAUAUUAAUUUAUUACUUCAACUGUUCGGGAGCAAAUCAAAGCGGCCUCAAUCGGAAGAAAGGAUAAAUUAAUUGCUUUAAAGAUGUGCAUGCAGAAAUUACACCCUAAUAUUAUAUUUAGUCUGCUCCCAAAGGAGGUCUAGACAUAAAGGUACAUGGGUGGUGUAGGAUGGUAAUUUUCUUAUAAUUCGUUUGAAAAAAUUUGUCUGGCCAAAGCUAACAAUUUCUUCAUAUGGAAAAUUUAAAAUUACUACGACCUGUAGAAAGUUUAAAUUAGUCUCUGAUAAAAAGAUUGCAUAUUUAUGCUUAUAACUCUGCUCCCAAAGAAAAUGUCGUGAUGUCAUAUAAAGCAUAUGCAUAAGGAAUGAAAAAAUACUUAUGCUCAUAACUUUGCUCCCAAAAGAAGUGUUGUGAUAUCAUAUAAAGUGUAAUUUUUCUAAUUUUGGUGUGGUAAUUUUUGAUGUCGUAUUUUAUUGAUAAAGCAUGCAUUUAAUUUUUUAGCUAUGAUUUCAUCCUUUGUUCCUAUUGGUGACUCUGUUCCUACGCUUAAUGAUUCUAAUUACUCGAAGUGGAAAGAACAGAUCGUGCUUACAUUAGGGUGUAUGGAUCUUAAUUUGGCUUUAAGAAAGGAUAAACCUACUCCUCUUAUAGAUAAAAAUACGCCAAUCCAAAUAGCAUUUUCAGAAAGGUGAGAGCGCCUUAAUCGGCUUAGUUUAAUGUUGAUGAAAGCGUGGGUCGGCAAAUACAUUUGGAAUUCAAUUCCAGAAUGUAAGUCAGCUCGUGAUUUCUUGAAUUCUGUGGAGCAAUAGUUUGUAAGCUGCAAUAAAGCUUUGGCGAGCACCCUUAUAUAUACUGUCUUCCACAAAGUACUUCAGAAAUGGCUCGAUUCACGAGCAUAUUAUGGAAAUGCGAGAUAUUGCAGCGCAGCUCACUGCACUUGAAGUAACCAUUUCUGAUUCAUUCUUAAUACACUUUAUUUUGAACUCUUUGCUAUCUGAAUACGGAUCAUUUCAGAUCUCUUAUAACACACAUAAAGAUAAAUGGUUAAUUAAUGAAUUGUUGACCAUAUGUGUGCAAGAGGAAGGCAGAUUAAUACAAGAGAAAUAAAUGCAGUUAACUUUGUGUCUCAAAAGAGACAAAUAAAACGUGCUAAAAAUGAUAAGGGAAAGAAUGACUCAAAAAGAAAGAAUAAAGAAGUUACAUCUAGUUCACAAAGCCAAUCAAGUAAUUGGAUUCCCAAGUGCUUCUUUUGUAAGAAAACUGGUCAUAUAAAGAAGGACUGCCAAAAGUAUCAGAAAUGGCUCCAGAAGAAAGAAAAGUUUCUAGUUUUGAUGCAUGAGUUGCAUUUAGUUACUGUUCUGUCUAAUAUUGGUCGAUUGACUCUGAUGCCACAUGCCACGGGGCGAAUUCCGUGCAGGGAAUUCAGAACCGCAGAAAACCCAGUAAAGAUGAAGCAACUAUCUAUAAAGCUGAAGAAAAUCCAACUAUAGUAUUUGUAGGAACAUUUAGAUUAGUCUUUCUACUGGUCAUAUUUUGGAUUUAGAAGAAACAUUUUAUAUUCCAAAUUUUUCUAAGAACUUAAUUUCUAUUUUAAAACUUGUUGGAUUGGGAUAUAAUUUCAGUUUUGAUACUAAAAUUUUUUCUUUAUCCUACAAAUUUCAAAUAGUUGGUUCUAGUGUUUUGAAAAAAUAUCUAUAUAAAGUACUUUUAGAUCAUUCAUAUAGUAAAAUUCUUCUUACCAUGCACGAAAAUGUUGGAUCAAAACAUAGCAUUAAUAAUAAAAUGUCAUCCAUAUUAUGGUAUAAGAGGUUGGGACACAUCAUGUCACGCCCCGGGGUCCCUUUUAGUUUGAAAAUACAGCGGAAGUGGCUAGAAAAAAUUUUUUUUUUCUGAAAACCCGACCCCAGGGUGUAAUAUACCGAAAACUCGAAAAAUAAAAAUGUCGAACUUUAGUCAAAUUGACCAAAGUGCGAGGAUGGAACACUUCGGAAAGUCCGAAGGUGUUAAAAUGAUCAAAAGUGAGUUGUGGAAGGUUUUCGAGAGCUAAAGAAUCAAAUUCUGCGAAACUGCAGAUUUUCAGCUCUCGGGGACCGGUCCCUGGUGGGAGAGACUGGUCCCCGAACGCGUAUGAAAUGAGACAGCCGAAAAAUCGGCUAAGUCCUGGAAGAUUAGCUCUCGGGAACCGGUCUCUGCCUGAGAGACCGGUCCCCCAGAGACCGGUCCCAUCAGAGAGAGACCGGUCGCAUCGCGGGCAGCGGCUCUGGCUGCGCAGGGUGGACGUUCGAGAACCGGUCCCUGCUCGGGGAGACCGGUCUCUGCCUGCGAAAACUGCCCAGUUCGGGCAGUGUAUUAAGGUGAAAGUUGAGGGGUUUUCUUGCAUUUUUGCAACCCAUUGAGCUAUGUUAGUGGGCUGAGGGGCUUUUCCUCUCAUUCCACUCUCUCUCACAUCCUCUCCUCUCUUUCUCUCUCUAGAAGACAAAGAAGGAGAAGAAGAAGACAAAGAAAGGAGGAAAAAGAAGGAAAAGAAGGUGAAGAAGAAGAUCAAGUAGUGAACCUACCUCUUCUCCUUCCUCCUUGGAGCAACUUUGGGAAAGCUUUGAGGUAAGCUUUGAUCCCAAGUAUAGUAAAACCCUAGAAUGAGUUUUGAAUGACCUAGAAAUGGGUUUUAAUGGAAUGAUCAAAGAGUUUUGAAGCUUCCUUUUGCUUCUAAAGAGAUCAAAACCUUGGUUUGCUAUAGAGGUGAGCUUGGACCACCUCUAAUGGUGAAAUCUAAUCUAGGGUUUUGGAAAGCCUAAGAAUGGUUCUAAUGGAUUAUUUAGAGUAUAAUGAAGCUACUUUUGCUUCCCAAUGAGAUCAAACCCUAGGUUUUGAUAUACAUUGGAGCUAGGGCACCCAAAUUGGGGCUUUUGCUCAUGAAGGUUGCUAAGUGCAAUUGACCCUCUAAAAAUCUAAUUGGGGGUAUUUCCGACGCGUUGGUGCGCUCGGAUUAACGUUACGAAAAGCCGAUGAAAAGUUAUGGGCAAAAUGGCCUAAUAAGGGUUCGUUUUGCCGCAGGUAAAGAACGAAGCAUCUAAAAAUCCCAAGAAAAUCAUCGGAGCACCUUUGAAAGCCUACGAGGUGGGUGGUGCUUUCCAAACUCAUUGAAAUUCUCUCUAUGCCUAAUGUGUCAUUCUUUGAGCAUAUGUUCUAUAUAUUGUUGCAUGCAUUUUAGGGUAAAGUAAUGAUGAAAUGUGAUGAUUGCAUGAUUGUGAGCACAACUUGCAUAAUGAGAUGGUUGAGAACCUAAUAAUGUCAAAACUCUAGAUGUAUGCAUGAGAGAAAAUGUGAACACCCAAAGUGAGCAAAAGAACAGAGUGGCACAAUGACAUAGAUCGAGUGGCAUUUGAAAAUGUAAAGUAAAGAGACACUAGAGUUAGUGUGAGGCAAAGAACCGAUGUAAUGUAAAGAAUGAUGAAAAUGACAAUGUGUAAAGCUAAAGCAAAGAGAGCAAUAAAGAACGUAUAAAGAAUAGAGAACGUGUAAAGCUAAAGAAUGUGAUUGCUAGAGUUAGCAAAAGUAAAAUAAAAUGCAAAGAUCAAUGAUUGCUAGAGUGGCAACAUAAAGUGAUGUAAUGAACACUAGAGUUAGUGUAAAGUCAAGAUUGAACAUAAAAUCCUUUGAGAUAAGGAUUUCGAUCAUGCUUGCUAUGAGUUCCGUGCUCGAGGGCGGUCGCUCCCCCUCGGGCGAUGCGCUCCGGAGUUAUGCAUCCGGGUUGGAGUAGACCCGUAAGGACGGUCCUAGCGGGUGAGUUCCUGCGAUGAUGGACUUAAUGUGAAGCAAGUUAAUGUGGCGAAACCCCGGGUUAGCCUUGAGAUUAAAGAACAAAGAGCAAAGAACAAAGUGUAAAGAACAAAGAACGAAGAGUAAAGUGAAAAGAAUAAAGAAUUUGCAUAAUCUGCAUAUGUUAAUGUUGAGCAUAUUCCUUGCUUUUGUUCAGGCAUAUUAGCAUCAUGUUAUAGAUUGGUUACUAUAUCUUACUUAUCCUUUCUAUUAUGCCUGAGUUAGUCCUAGUGGGAAAGUCGGUGAUGUUGGGGCCGAACCCACUGGGAACUUUGUUGUAGUUCUCACCCCACUAUUUCCACAGAGCCGGGACCGAGCGAGCCGGCGAGCGACCGAGGUAAAGGUAUCGCGCCUUAGUCAGAGGCCACCAAAGUUGGGUUACAUUUUGUUAGUAGCUACCCCAUGUUCAUCUUUUGUACUUGAUGAUUAGUAAUGUAAGGAAAAGAAUGUAAAGCUUAUUUUGAGGGAAAUGUGAUGCAAGAAAGAAAUGAUGAAAUGAUGUAAUGAAUGUAAGAAUUCGAUAAAUUACUAGAUGAAUGCAAUGUAUAUGAUCUAAAAUGAAUUAUAUUACUUGUGAAUGUUUAGUUUUCUUUUUCUUUCACUAAUGGCUAUUGCUUACCCUCGCGUAAGCCGUUUGUGUAUGUUUCCGCUAGUGCUUUUCUCUAUUGAUGAAAUUGUACAUGUGAUGAGCCUUGGGCGGAUAGGGGAAACUCUGUCCGUUCGGCGUCUGUUUGACGUGCUCGGGUCGGGCCAAAUUGGCAUCGGUCCCGGGGCGUGAUACAGGGUAUGCCAGAUCCGCCAUAAAUACAGGAAUUCUACUGUUCAUACGGACAGAGUCUUCCCUGUAUUUGCACGGCAUCGCACAAGUACAAGAUGUAAAACAGGAUACAACCACAACAAAAUGAAUAUACAAGUCAUCAUACAUUCAAUAUCCAUACACCAUUCACCACAGGUUCAUAAACAGAGAUCUGAAUAUAAAUCCACAACUAUCAGUUAAAACGUUUCCUACCCGGAAACUUAUUUUGAAAUACUAAGUCAAGAAAACCACGAGAAAACUCUUUUGAAAGCUGUUUCCCACACGGAAACCUUUUUUUUUGAAAACACGCUACCAUGAUGGGUAGAAAACUAUUUUUCAUUUCACAAAAUCCACAAAUCCAUUUAUUGCAUUCAUGAAAACCUACAUUUUCAAAUGUAAUAAAAAUACUGAACCAUAUAAACUAUCUAAACUAUAUCAACAGAAUAGUAAGGAUGGAAAUUAAACCGAAUAACCUGGGUCGGAAGCUCUAUCGGCCGCUACGUACGUAUCUCACGUUUCGUCUCAACCCUCACCGUCCGCGAUACCUGAAAAAUGGUGGGGGAGAUGAGAACAUGUAAACAUGUCUCCCCUCCCAGUGGGUACCGCAAGCCGAUGAAGGCGAGAAGUACUCACCGGAUCAGGAAGAGAUAAACAAAGUAAUGAGUAGAUAUACUGAAUACAGUAGCAAUAAACUGAAAGGAAGUAGAACUAUAACAGAAUAACGACUACCGCUACUGUAACUAGAACAAAAGGCAUAUAUGGAUAUAUACUAUAGUAGCAAGACAACUAUAAGGCUGUAAGUAUGCAUGCAACGACUGCUACUAUAGACAUAAGCGUCAACCGGAUGUAUAGACCAAAUAUACCCAAUCUAGAAUCUGCUGCUCUGUUGGUCCGCACCGCAAACCUCAAGCCUGUGCCCUGGAGGUCCGCACCGCAAACCUCCUGACAGUACCACUGCCACUCAACCAUGCAUAUAACCCCUCUAGGGCUCACGGGUUGACACCUGCAACCACUUUUCCGAAAAAGAACACCCCUUGCGGUGGAUCGGACCGCCAGUGUUCGUGAAAUGCGACGAGUAUCGGGCGAUCAAUGCAAUAUUCUCAAUGAUCAACCGUCGGCAACUAGCCGACAAUCCUGCCCACAGGGCUCACCGACCGUAUAGGUCAUCAACUGUAAGGAAGAACAAGAACUGACCACUCAGGUCAACUAGGAUGGAACAACUCAACAUCCUCUCAGAAGUAUGCAAAUACUGCUCAAGGGUCAACAAAAGUGUAAAUGCAAGAACCGACAAAUGGGUCACAGAUACGACAUACAUGAACCGACCAACCAGGUCACUGAUACGAAGUACGAGAAUCGACCAACAAGGUCACUAAUACGAGUGUCGGACUAAGUCAGAGUCGUUUUUGCACGAAAUGGAUGCAGAAAUAGACUUCGCGGACCCAAAUAAGCAAAACUAGAGUUUUGCCAGUUUCGGGUAGCCAGAACAUGGUUUGGGUCGCCCAGAUCUUGAGUGUUGAACUAAACUGAACUGGAAGCCAAUUUGGAUCCUGUGUUCCGGGUGCCCAGAUGUGGGUCUGGAUGUUCACUUUGGGAAUAUCGACUGUGCUGACACGUGUCUGGUAGUAGGUGAGGUCCGCCGGACUAGAUUUUGGGCGCAUCGUACCGCAGGCGGAGGAAUCGAAAAGGGAACUUUGUAUGGCCCGAAAGUACUCGUUCUUACAGGAUAGCAAGUUUGUUUUCCUUUGUUCCUGGGGCUUAUCAGACCUACUCUAUUCCUUAUAAAAGGCUUGUGUUUGACCCCUAAGAAGCUUUUUCACCUCUCCUUCACAGUGAAGCCAUAUUUUGCACUCUAGUCUCUCAAAAUACUUCAAUUUACCCAAAUUCCACAAUUUCCAUCUUGAGGAUUGCAAUUCCUGCAGAAUUUCAGCAGCGACCUUCGGCGUUUUGGCUCGUGUGCGACAUANCUUCAAUUUACCCAAAUUCCACAAUUUCCAUCUUGAGGAUUGCAAUUCCUGCAGAAUUUCAGCAGCGACCUUCGGCGUUUUGGCUCGUGUGCGACAUAGGAAGAUCGGUUUGCUGCGAAACUUGAUUUAACGGUUAGUAGACUUCUUGGAGAUUUCAUGGAGCCCAUUUUGAUAGGAAUUGAUUGAGGUUAGUAUGGUCAAUUUGCUAUUUUUCUGAACUACUGCUAUAUUGGAGCUGAAACUUGGGUUUUUCUUAGUUUUCUUGGUUCAAUCUUUGGAGGAAGCAAGAUUUUCAACCAAAGGUCAUUGCUCCACCUUUCCCUACUGGUUUUGAGAGUGUUCUUCACCUGAAUUGUGGAUUUAAAGUUUGAAAGAUGAAUUUUGACAUUGGAAUUGAAGGAAUUAAGCUUUAGUACUGAAAUUUGAGGGUAUUGAUGCAAUUUUGGUGUUCUUGUGGUAGAUCUUUUGAGAGGAGUGUGCUAGUUCAUGGCUGAGCUUGGUAGGGCUUAUUCCAGCGACUUCCUAACCUUGCUGGACUCGCGCUUGAGGUGGGUUAACGUUAUGCUUACCGGACUCUGCGGAUUUUCUUCUAAGUCUAGUGUUGUCAGCAUGUAUUGUUAGUUUUGUAGAUUUGUUAAUUAGCUCAAAUUCGUUGAUUUGCAUGCUUUGAAAUCUGAAUUUGGAGCUUAAAAUGUUAGCUAACUUAUACAUGUUGGACUUGGAAUUGACUUAGGAGAAAACUAUCGAUUCUACACCGUCAUUUUCUGAAAAUGCCGGAUUUAGCUCUAGGAGCCGUAGUUUGUUUGUAUCGCCGCAGUUGGUGGGCAGUGGAUACUCAGAAUAGUGUAGAAUGUAUUUGCGCUCGUGCUUGGAUGCCGAGCUUAUUUUUACAGUAGUCUAUAGACUAUUCCGGACUGUUGGGUGCCGUUGUGGUUGACGGUGGACCCGGUUUACUAUUUUUGCAUCAAAUUGUACCGAGGGCAUAUUUAGUAUGGUUGUUCAACCUGUUAGACUCUUCUGCUUUGAUUACAGCCUGUGAGAGCCUGAUUGAGCUCGGCAGAGAUACGCUUGUAUACUCGGUUGGGUAGCGCCCACGAGUGCCACUCCGGAGUCGGGCUUAGUGCUUUUGCGUUGAUGUCGGUUUGUCCUGUUUGGACUUGCUCUCCACUGACGACCUAGUGUGGUGGCAGUUAGUGUAGCUUCGACAGGCGGGACGAGUGUGUUCACAAUCCUUAGUGACAUUGGGUCAGGAUUUUAUAUUUUCUACAGUUUGUUAGUGUUGGAUCAUCAUAGUAUAGCGGCAUAUAACUGUAGUUUGUUCCAGCUUUCCUUACUAUCCCUACUUACUUCUGUAGAUUUAGUGGGUGAGCCGUUGAGGUCGGUAAUGGUACCCACUGAGGACUACUUCUUUUUGCAGUAGUUUUCACACUCAGUUGUGGAUCCUUUUUGCAGAGCCCUCUUCUUCGGCUGCUGCUGUCGUGGAGACUAAUCGUGGAAAGGGAGUCGCAAGCUAGAUCCCUUCCCAGUCGCUGCUGACCUAGAGAUUUAUACCAGCUACAGGUAGUUGUAGUUUUUGAUUCUUAUAUAUACUGAUGUUAGUGCCUUGCUGGAGCGAGUGACUUUUAUAUCAGGAUACUAUGUAUGUAUGUUGAACCGAGGUUAUUUAUAUAUGUUUCUUUCAGCAGCUCUAUACUAGUGGUUGUAGUGUUGUAUGAUUACAGGUACAGAUACAGCUAUCGCUUCGUGUACCAAAAAAAUUUCUUUGCAUACGGCGGAUUUGUCGGCAUGCUCGGGGAAACGAGUAAUUCGGAGCGUGACAGGUUUUGAUUUUUGAAUAUUAGGGUUUCGGUUUGGAAAAUAUGAAGGUUUUGAUUUUUGAAUAUUAGGGUUUGGGUUAUAAAGAUAUAUGUAUUUUGGUUUAGAUUAUAAAAGUGUAAGUAUUUUUUUGGCCUUUAGAUUCGGAUCUAAUGGUUUAAUUUUUAUAUAUAUAUAUUAUAUCAUAUUCAAUUUGUUCGGGUUCAGGUCGGGUUCAGGUUCGGGUCGGGUUCGGAUUUUUUAAAAAUAUCCAUAUCCGAGUCCUAAUCCGUCGGAUUUUUUUUUUUAAUAUCCCUACCCGAAUCCAUAUCCAUUUACAUCGGAUAAAAUCCGCUCCGUCCGGAUUUGGAUUCGGAUAAAAUUCAGAUAUUCAUAUCCAUUUACAUCCCUAUAUCCCAUCUAUCUAAAUUAAAUAGAAUACUAAUCAAACUUUGAUUGGAAGUCAAUCUGGACUCUAUGUAAAAGGGUAUUAGUCCUGCCACCUUCUCAUACGCAUUCUGGUGAAGAAUUACCAUCGGUUCCACACUAUAUGGUAAAGUACGUCUGAGAUAGGAGGAGAAACCAAAUUACCCAAGUUCGGUUCGUGACUUCCAGAUCAUAGCGGAACUUCUCGCUUCUGCAGAUUGAUCAGAAAUUUCUUCUCUAUGACGCUCUAUGAGUUAUUUUAUUUUAUUUGAUCUUAGAUUUUGAUAUGUAUUCAAUUUUCUUCUUAUUUUACAUAUCUAGAAAGAUCUAUUAAAAAUUGCAUCAAGACCCCUUCGUUAUAUUCUGUUUGAAAGUAGAGUCCUCAACUUUUUUUAUUUUUUUAUUGAGACCUUCCUAUUUUAAACUUUCUUUUUACUUAACUUUUUAUACGAAGAGGAUAUUUGAUUAGGCGUAAAACUAUAAAAAAAAAUAGUUGUCCACGAAAAGAGUUUUUGAUAGAAAAUUUUUUUUUACGCCUUUUGAUAUCUAGUUUGUUGUAAAAGAAAACUAGAUUACAUUCCACAUGCUUUUGGUUCGUAGAAAACAAAAAAGUAAAUUUUUUUCUCUUUUAUUAUUUAAUUAAAUAAAAAUAUUUUUAAUUUUUAUUUAAAUUUAUAUUACUUAAAAACUUAAAUAUAUAUUACUUUUAUGUUUUAUACUAAUGCUUUAUGCAUAUGUUAAGAGUAAUUCAUUGUACUAAAUUGCACACGGUCCAUGAGGUCACGCAUGCACUCCUCAUGCGGUCCAUGAGGCCUUGCGGUCACUUGUGGACCGCGCGGGCGCUCCAAGCUCAUGAGCCACAUUUGUUUCCUCUUUCGUUUUCAUUUUUUGACCUUUUAAAGCAGAAAAUGAAAAGUUGAUAUUUCCGUGAAAUUUGUAAAACUUUUUUUUUUUUUUACAGGAAAAGCAUUUUUCGAGUGUCCAAAUGCUUGAAAAUUUAUUUUUUAUGCCCGAAAAUAUUUUUCGUCUUGCUUUUACAACGAAACAAACAUCCCCUUAGCAACCCUAAAACUUUUAUCAACCAUAAUGAAUUUAUGAGUUUUAAAUUGUUACUUGGUUAAAUUUAUUUACUAAAAAAAGUAAUUAAAGUUGUUAAAUUUGGUGAAAUCAAUGAAAUCUCUAAUUUCUUCUCAUAAAAUUACCUAAUUUUGAAAAAUUAGCAGUUGAGAGGUCUUAAAUGAAAAAAUAAAUUGGAGUCGUUUAAUUAAUUCAACAUGGCAUGGGUUGUGUACAUUUUUAUCACAGUUAAAUGAGAAAAGCUAAGGUCUACAAUCCUUAUGGAUUGCAAAUCUAUACAUCUCUCCGUCCUCGUAUUUGUUCAACAUUUUUUCAGUUUGAGUAUUAAAAAGUUUGAUAAGACUAGUGUGAUAUUUCUAGUCUUUGGAUAACGGAGAUUACAACCAAAAAUUGAUUGUAGCAUGUAGUCGUAGCAUUGCUCUAGUUAAAUUAAGGAAUAAAUUUACAAGCAACCGUAUACUUUGGAGCUUUGGCAAAUAGGUGCCGAAUUUAUACUUUUUCACAAUUUGACCUUCUAAAUUUUAUGCGAUAGUUCAACGAGUCCUUUUUCUCUUUUUAUGUCACGCCUCGCCCCGAAUCCACUACUAAUUUGGCACGGUUCGGGCGCGCCGGACGGACCGCCGAACGGAUAGCACCUCUCCUAUCCGUCCAAGGCCAAGCAACAAGAUCAUGUACAGUUAAGCGCCCAGGGAAUGCCUAAAUAACAUACAUGAUCGAUACGAUACACACAAGUGCACUAUAACUAAGAGCAAGAACCACAAGUGAAUGUACAAGUGUAUAAAGAGAGAUAGUCUAAUUAUUACAACCAUUCAGCAUUUACAUCAUUUGAAUAUAUUACAUUUCCAUCUUUCAAAAUGUAAAUACAUGUUUUCCUCAAAAUACAAGUAGGUCUCCAAUAACUAUCCAAAAUAUCAUCUAGUACACGAGGGUACUCUAAUGCAUAAAGGAAAAGCUACUAACUAGGCUCACUUAGGGCACUAUGCUCUUGCCGCGGUCCUCGCUCGGCUCGUCUCUGUGUGUACCUGUACCCCAAAACCACACGGGGUGAGAACUAUAUAAAUAUAGUUCCCAGUGGGUUCGGCCGCCUACGCCGCCGGUUUUCCCACUAGGUCUAAGCUGACACAAAUAGAGAGAUAGAUAGAUAUAUAGAAAAUGAACUGCAACUAUUUUAUCAUACCAUCAAUGAUAAUAAUGCAUGCAACAACUACUAUCAUGCUAGUAUCAUGUCAUAAGUAUAUAAAGGUACAUAGCAAUGUAAUCUACAACAUACACUAUGUCUACUCAAGGUAAUAAUGUAAGUCUACUAUGCAUUUCAUAUUUAUUACCCAAUCUACUUAGUUAACUCGAAGGUUAAACCCUCGACUCACUCUCAAUCUCAUAGGUGAGGAGAAGCUACACUCGCACACCGAGACCGUCUGCGGGACAAGCCUGUGAGAUACUCCAGAGACUCGUGCCUCGGUAGAGCGACCACCGACAAGCAAAACAGACUAGUGAGUAUGAUCCAAUCCUCACAAGAGGAUACCCUAUCUAUAAGGGUCAAUGUGCCUCUGCUGCACAAUAUACAAUGCAUCCUAGAUGCCGGGACCUCUACUAUCCCAAGAAUCAUGUCAUAUUUACUACACUAGACUCGAUGCCACUCGUUCAGUCGUUGUAGUAAUAUCUUCUAACUAGUCGACAUGCCACUCGUUCAAGUUUAGUGUUUCUAUUACACUAGUCAAUGCCACUCUACUAGGCUAUGUCCAAGUUCAUCACUUUUGCCACUAUAGGAUUCUUUGUCUCAAGACCCAAUCCUCAUGCCUUCCUAGUCCAAGUGUCAAGCCCAUACCGCUACACUACUAAGUAAGCAUGCAAGGAAUGGAAAUAUGCUUCUACUAAUCCUAUAAUGCACAAUCGACAUAUGAUGAAUAAAAUUAACUUAGACAUAAAAGAAAAUCCGGAUGCUUCGGGAUGACACCCCCCACCUUUUGUGUAUACGGAGGCUCUAGAAAUGCGCUUCGGCGUUCUUUAGGACGAAGCCUCGAUCUCCUUGGUCCAAAUGAUGCUCAAUCAGUCUUAUUUUGCCGAUAGCUCUUGACCCGCUCGACGAAUCGAAAUUCUGACUUCGCCCCCGCGUUUCGUUACCUAGCAAUUAGGUUUACAAGGCCUCAAAUGAGAUCAAUCUCAUACUUUACUGAAAACCCCAUUUUUGGAGCCCUAGGGUUCCCAUCAUGCCAUUUGCAUUUUGGAACCCUAACUCUAGCUUCAAUCCACCAACAAUUGUGCUAGGGCUCCAUUUGACCCCAUUUCCAAAGCUCAAAACCCAAAAACCCUAAGUUUCACAAGCUAGGGUUUGGGUAGCUUACCUCUUAGCUACACCAAGGGGAAGAGGAGAGGGAGGGGAAGAUGUCCAAGGUCUUUCUCUUGAUCUCCUUCUUCUUCUCCUUCCUUUCCUUCUCUUCCUUUCCUUCUUUUCCUUCUUGUUCUUCUUCUCUUUUCCUUCUAGAGAGAGAGAGGGAGCAAGAGAGUGUGAGAGAGGGGGAGAAAUGAGAGGCUGAGGGAGAGAGGGGGUCCCCUAUACUCUCUAAUGUAACAAUAUCCUAAUAAGUCCCUCCACUUUUCAUCCUGUGCACUGCCCGUCACUAGGCAUUUUUCGCCCAGAGGGACCGGUCUCCCCGACUUGGGACCGGUUUCCGAGAGCUUCAGCUCGGGUCACGCGUUCGGGUACCGGUUUCUCCCAGAGAGACCGGUCCUUGGGAGACUGGUUCCUUCCUAAGAGACCGGUUCCCGAGAGCUAGGAUUUCGGGACUUAGCCAAUUUUUGGCUUUUCUCGUUGGGUUCGCGUUCGGGGACCGGUCUCUCCCUGCCAGGGACAGGUUGCCUCAAGAAUCCCCGCACCCUAGCCAAUGGGACCGGUCCCUCCCUGCCAGGGACCGAUCCCCGAGAGCAAUUUUGCUCCAGUGCAGGCUUUGCACUAUUUGCUCUCGUGGACUCGUUUCCAAUGCACUCUUGGUGAUAUCAACAUCUUUGGCUUUUCCAAAGCUCACCAACACGACCCUUGGUCGAUUUUGCAUAAAGUCUAACUCUCGCAUUUCGAGAAUUCACUUCCUCAUAUUUUAAGUAACUUAUUUCUCUUUCUAAGUAAAUGCUCACUCAACACAAAUGUUUUGCACACGAUACUGAAACUGUUGAUGCCAAAAUUGAAAUUAACAUGCCGACCUAAUCCACGUAUGAGCCAAUAAGGACACGUGGUACACCAGGAGUCGGCAAUAAGGCGCCUGAAGAUUUUAGGUGGGAACGGUUGAGAAGUGGGCAUAACUUCCACGAUGGAGCGUAACUUCCAUAAGGAGUGGGCGUAACUUCCACGAUCAUGGUUACAAUCACUCCCCCCAUUACUUUCAACCGACCAAUAAUGUGGGCUGAGAAGACAUCACUAUAAAUAGUAACUUCAAAGCCUGUAAUAAAGGUCUUUCUCCAUCCUGAACGAGAAGACCACCUUUAUUUCCUCUGCAUUUUAUCGCUUUUCUAGGAGUAGUCUAAAUGUAAUCUUUUUCUUUUCCGCAUUUACUGCUUUCCUAGUAAUAGUUCGCUAAGUAGAACCCUGGAGUCUGUCUGUCCCACGGGCAUCACUCCGUUGUAGACUACAUUUGCAGAGUCUGUCUGCCCCACGGGCAUCACUCUGUUGUAAAUUAUAUUUGCAGAGUCUGUAUGCCUUUCGGUCACACUCUGUUUUAUUAAUAUAUAUAUAUAUAUAUAUAUUUAGGCAUUCGGAUCUUUCAGCCGACCAGUCAUUGUGUAUUUCAUUUAUUCGGCUCUUUCAGCCGACCAGUUACUGUGUACUUCUUCCAUUCAGCACUUUUGCCGACAUUGAUCCCUGCACAGUUCGUACAUUCGGCUCCUCCAGCCGAACCGAUUCUACAGUAAAGGUUUUCGAACUCGGCUGAUCCGAUCCCUCGUCAGCCGAAUCGCUUGAUCUGUCGAAGGGCGCACACUUCGAGGGUCAUCGUUCGUAGCCGUUCCUCACCGCGACGCGCUUUCCGAGGAGGAUCUUUGACCGAGUCAAGGGUCGGAAAAUUCGGCAUUCCAACAAUUUUUGGCACGCCUGGUGGGACUUGAUUUUAGCUAAAUUCACAUUUUUAUUAAAAUUAUGGCUGAUGAUAAUGCCAUGAAUUUGCGCAAUAGGGUUGUUCCUAGAAAUUCUGGGAGUGAUCAACCUAGUGAUUCAGACAAUGCUGGCGAAUGUCAAGCAGUUUUGCCAGUUGAAAGAAAAACUAGUAGACAGUCGGCUUAUCAAGAGCCGAGUCUAACUCAGGCACUCGGCCAGAUGAGCCGAGUCCUGCAAACUUUAGAUCAAACUAUCCAUCAAAGUACCGCUCGACUAGACGCGGUGCUGGCCGCUAUCACGGCCUAUAAUGAAAAUAUUGUUCGAAUUAGACAAUUAUUUAGCCGAAACGAGCAACCUUAUGGGAGGCAACAAAGGCUCCUAAAUGUGCCGGUGCAACAAAAUCCUGUCACGCCGGCGGUCUCACGGGUGCAACCUUAAAUGUCACCUUUCCAGACUGCUUAUAGGCCGGCGAAUAUCAACACCGGCCCGCAGUCGGAGAUUGCAUCAGGUUUACCUCCUUUACCAAUUUAUCAGUCUCCAAAUGUGGGGAUUAGAGCUGAGGUGUAGGCUCUGAAUAUGCAAGGAGUUAACCCUGUUAUACCGAAUUUCGGUCUACCGCAAGGAUCGAAUGUAGUACAAGCACAGAUUCUUUUGUAGGGAAACAAUAAUGAAAUAUACGCACAAAUUGAAGAAAUCAUCCGAAAUACUUUCGGAAUUGGCGCAAGGUCGGCAGUGCGGCCUGUAUUUCGUUCCUCUUAUCCCGCGAGUAUAGAUGCUGAGCAUCCAUACCCGGCAAAUUGAAAAAUGCCGAAGUUUGAUAAAUUUUCUUGGGAUGAGACCGAAAACACGGUCAAACAUGUGGCACGGUUCACGGCACAGUGUAGGGAAGCCGCGACAGAUCCAUUUUUAAAAUUAAGAUUGUUUAACACGUCGUUAACUAAAACGGCGUUUACUUGGUAUGCAAGUUUAUCAGCCAAUUCCGUCCAAGAUUGGAACGAAUUAGAAAGAAAAUUUCAUGAGCGAUUCUAUAGGCCGGAGCCACAAUUAUCGGUCGCCGACUUGGCUUUAUACCGACAAAUGUCAGGUGGAACGGUCGAAGAGUAUUUGAACCGUUUCAAAAUAGCUAAAAUCCUGUGCUUUAUGAGAAUGCCGGAAUCAGAGUUCGCCAAAAUAGCGUUAAAUGGUCUGCAUUUUAAGAUAAAAGACUAUUUUGAAGAUAAGUAUUUUUCUAACCUAUUUGAUCUAGGUGUUCGAGUUGCCCAAUAUGAGCAAUUUCGGAAGAAAAGUGAGGACAAUCGGCUGCAAUGGAGCCGAUAUAAAAUGCAAAGCAAAGGCAAAGAGAAAUCCUUGAUAGAAGAACAGUCGGUUCAAGAAGAGCCGAGCCAAUCGAGUGAAAGUGAAGAAUCGGCUGAUGAAGCCGAGGUAUAUGCGGCUGGUAAAGAGCCAUUUUCUUCAAGGAGAAAUCCUUGAUAGAAGAACAUUCGGUUCAAGAAGAGCCGAACUAAUCAAGUAAAAGUAAAUAAUCGGCUGAUGAAGCCGAGGUAUAUACGGCUGGGACGAUAAAGAGCCGUUUUCUUUAAGCCGACCAAGACCAGCGAAACAAAAGCUUGAGUCUCGGUUGUGUCAUUUGAGCAGUCGAUUUGGCACCAAUAGUCAUCCGAAUGUUCAUUCGAAAGACUAUUAGGGGGGCAUUGUUGAUGCCAAAAUUGAAAUUAACAUGCCGACCUAAUCCACGUAUGAGCCAAUAAAGACAAGUGGUACACCAGGAGUCGGCAAUAAGGCGCCUGAAGGUUUUAGAGAGGAACGGUUGAGAAGUGGGCAUAAUUUCCAAGAUGGAUCGUAACUUCCAUGAGGAGUGGGCGUAACUUCCACGAUCAUGGUUACAAUCACUCCCCCCACUACUUUCAACUGACCAAUAAUGUGGGCUGAGAAGACAUCACUAUAAAUGAUAACUUCAAAGCCUGUAAUAAAGGUCUUUCUCCAUCCUGAACGAGAAAACCACCCUUACUUCCUCUGCAUUUUAUCGCUUUCCUAGGAGUAGUCUAAAUGUAAUCUUUUUCUUUUCCGCAUUUACUGCUUUCCUAGUAAUAGUUCGCUAAGUAGAACCCUAGAGUCUGUCUGCCCCACGGGCAUCACUCCGUUGUAGACUACAUUUGCAAAGUCUAUCUGGCCCACGGGCAUCACUCUGUUGUAAACUUCAUUUGCAGAGUCUGUCUGCCCCACGGGCAUCACUCUGUUGUAAACUAUAUUUGCAGAGUCUGUAUGCCUUUCGGGCACACUCUGUUUUAUUAAUAUAUAUAUAUUUAGGCAUUCGGCUCUUUCAGCCGAUCAGUCAUUGUGUAUUUUAUUUAUUCAGCUCUUUCAGCCGACCAGUUACUGUGUACUUCUUCCAUUCGGCGCUUCUGCCGACAUUGAUCCCUGCACAGUUCGUACAUUCGGCUCCUCCAGCCGAACCGAUUCUACAGUAAAGAUUUUCGAACUCGGCUGAUCCGAUCCUUCGUAAGCCGAAUCGCUUGAUCUGUCGAAGGGCGCACACUUCGAGAGUCAUCGUUCGCAGCCGUUCCUCACCCCGACGCGCUUCCCGAGGAGGAUCUUUGAUCGGAUCAAGGGUCGGAAAAUUCGGCUACUAACAGAAGCUUUAAAAUACAUUAAAAUCUGUCCGAAAGCAAUAAAAAUUGAUUUUAUCCUUUGCUUAAUUUUCUUAGUGAAAAAAACUAUAGGUUUUUUUUGGUCUUUUAAAGAGUUAAUAAUAGAUCAUCUCUAAGCCAUGCCAUCAAUACGGUUAUUUAAUUAAUAAUUUGGCUUGUGGACAAGAACUAAUUGAAUUGUUUGAUAAAGUUUAGGCGAUUUUAUUGACAAGAUUAAAAGUUUAGAACGUAGUCGGCCGUAGACUAAAAUUUAAGGGGUGUCAAUAUUUGAAAAGUUCAGACAACAAAUGUAAAAUUUUUAUUAUUUUUUUAGUGUUCGGAGAUAACUACCCAACCUUUAAAAAAAUUCUUAUUCUCCAUGUAAACUUUCUGGCAGUAUAUUGCUGUUAGUUAUUUUAAGUUAUUAUAUUUGAUCAGUUUAAAUGGCCUUGUAUUAGCCAAAUCAUGAAAAGGAAAAAUAAUAAAUAAAUAAUACAUGGCAGUAAAAUAAAUAAAUCUUCUUAAUGAAAAAAAUUAUUGCUGUGUAUGAAAUUGACCAUAAUUUUUAUUUUUAUUUAAAAACAUUAAAUACCGACAAAAAAUUUUAUUUUAAAACUAAAUUUUGAUGUCCAAAAUAUCAUUGGCUAUUUACUAGCUAGUCACUCUAAUAAAUUGAUAAAAAUAAAACUCGACACAGAAGACAAAAACUAAACUGCAAAUUUAGUAUAGCAUAAGGGUUCUUUUGAAGUUUGCUCUACUCAAUUCAUUAAUAAUAAUAAAAAGAAAAAAGCUCUUAAUUAAUACGUGUUAAUUUAUUACAAUUUAUUUAUUUAAAUAUUUUUUUAUAGUCAUUCUCUGAAUACAUUUCUCCCCCAAUCCACAGUUCCACACACUCUCUCUUUCUCUCCAAUCUCGGAUCACCAUUCGAGCACCACCUUUUCUCUCCCUUUUCUUUUAUUAAUUAAUGUGAUAAUAUUUAAUCUAUUAUUAUUAUUAUUAUUAUUAUUAUUAAUUUAUUAUAUGUUUUUUUACUUUAAUAAAUUAAUUCGAAGAGUCCCCUUCGCUUCUUCCUCUUCCUCUCUUCCGUGCUCAGCCCCUCCGUCGCGCCGCUCGAUGAGCGCCACGUGGCUCGCCGGAGCGUAGAUGAGUCCCCGUCCGCCGUCCGAUCUAUGGACCACCGCGUGGCCCCUCCUCCCUCCUCCUCCGGCGGCGGCGGCGGCGGCGGCGGCUCCUCCGGCGGCGCCCUCCGCCGGCGACUCCUUCGGCGACAAUCUUAGGGGCUUCCUCCUCGCCGUCGCCUCGAGCGCCUUCAUCGGCGCCAGCUUCAUCGUCAAGAAGAAGGGCCUCAAGCGCGCCGGCGCUGCCGGAUCCCGCGCCGGUAACCCUAAACCUCGCCGGAACCCUAAUUCCCCUCCCCUCCCCUCCCGCAUUUGCCCUAGCACGUGAAUCGUGCUUUCCCCUUCUUUUUGCCCGGUAUUUUCAUUCUGGUUGUUGUUUUCGUGAAGGUAUUGGAGGAUACGGGUAUCUUCUAGAGCCGCUGUGGUGGGUUGGAAUGGUCACGAGUGAGUGCCUCUCUCUCCCUCUCUUCUUAUUCGCGAUUUUUAUGUUCUUAUUCGACCACGAUUCGAGAGGAAUUUGCUGAGAAAAUCGGGUGAAAAUUGGAUCUUUGCAGUGAUUAUUGGAGAAAUUGCUAACUUUGUGGCAUACAUCUUCGCUCCCGCGGUUCUCGUGACGCCGCUCGGUGCUUUGAGCAUCAUUGUGAGGUAAAGAUUGUGCAAACGAGAGGAAGGAAUUAUCAAAUUACCCUUUUCGAUUCGAAUAAAUUGUAUGAUUCUGGGGGAGAAUUUGCUGUGGCAGUGCUGUUCUGGCGCAUUUUAUUCUGAAGGAGAAGCUGCAGAGGAUGGGGGUGUUGGGCUGUGUCCUCUGCAUCGUCGGAUCGACGGUGAUCGUGCUUCACGCUCCCGAGGAGAAGAGCCCGAGCUCCGUGGAACAGAUUUGGGAUUUGGCUACACAGCCUGGUAUCGAUUUUCGUCCUUCACUCUUGUGUUUACAGAAAAAGUAUCAACUGCUGUUACGCUUUCAGUGAAGAGUAAUGAAAUUGAAAAUAAGGAAGCGUUAGGUUCAGAAAUCGAACUUUUAGAACCCGCGUCUAUGCAAUUGAAAUUGAAUGAGCCCGUGGAUGGUGCAUUGUUCGCUAUACGUAGAACCUGUGGGUUUUCCCUUUCGCAACACACAAAAGAAAACAUAAUGUUGUAGUAGCCUUCUUCUGCUCUUUGUUUUUUGGACACUAUUUGGUAUUUAGCCCGGCGGAAACGCAAGCUAACGAAUAAAACAACAACUUGAUUUAGAAACAAAAGAAGGUAGCCAUUCCGAAAUGUGUGUUUUCUUUAUUUUUUAGGUAGUGUCGGUAUAUCUUUCCUUUUAUCUUACCCUGUCUUUGAGAUGUUUGAUAUAUUCCCUUCAGCCUUUCUUCUGUACGCGGCUUCGGCGGUGGCUAUAUCCCUAGUUCUAAUGCUGCACUGUUCUCCGCGAUAUGGACAAACAAACGUGAUGGUGUACGUGGGCAUAUGUUCUGUCAUUGGAUCUUUGACGGUGAUUAUUCGGCUUGUAAUAAAGUUUGAUCUUUACAUUCGCUUCUCAUGGGAUUUUUCACGUUUCAAUUUUUCUUUUCUUUUUUUUUUCGGGUUUGUAAUGUUUGUUAGGUUAUGAGCAUUAAAGCCAUUGGGAUUGCGAUAAAGCUCACUAUAGAGGGAAUUGACCAGGCGGGUUAUUACCAGACAUGGGUCUUUGCUAUGGUUGCCAUCUCUUGCAUCAUAAUCCAGCUAAAUUAUCUGAACAAGGUGAGCAAAAAGAACCAAUUUCUGGGAGACUGAAUUUUACAGGAGGUUGCUUCUGAAUUGAUCAGUUUAUUAGCUUUCUUCUGGGAUUUCACAGCUUUAUGUUCUCCAAUAUCGCCUGUAGAUGAACAGUUCCCCGUCGCAAUGCUUUGGAAAACUCCGAGGUUUUCCUCACUAGUUUAAGAGAGAACCAAUAGUUUGCUUUGAUCUCCUUGUCUCAUAGGAAACAACUUAUCAAUCUCUUUUGUAGCCAAGCUAGAUCAUUUUUAUUUUGUCUAUCAAUUUACCUUCUUUUUUUCAUUACUUCGGUGAUCCUGAACAACUUUAUCGUAUCAUUUUAUAGCCUUGCGCAUUGUCAUUAUCUCGCAACUACUGAGGCCCUGUUUAGCACAACUUGUGUUCUUUGAAUUAGUUUGCAGCUAGCUAAUACUUCCUAGAUGAAAUCAUCAAUUUCAAUGUUAACUUUUCAGGCAUUAGACACUUUCAACACUGCAGUAGUUUCUCCUAUAUACUACGCCUUGUUCACUACCCUAACAAUUCUUGCAAGUGCCAUUAUGUUCAAGGUAUGCAUGUUAUACACCGCACAAAAGUGCUCAUGCGUUUGGUACGUGUCUUUGUUUCCAACAAGGAUUAGCUUCACCUCUGGCAAUUAUUCAGGACUGGUCUGGACAAAGUGCGAGCAGUAUUGCAUCGGAGCUCUGCGGGUUUGUUACAGUGCUUUCUGGUACCGCAAUACUACAUUCCACGAGAGAACCCGACCCGGCUUCCUCAACAGGUAAAUGUUUUUACACUACUAUUAUUGAUUGGACUUGCCUGCGACUAGUUAAAAUGCAGAUAAAAGCGUAAUAGUUAACGAGCUUCUUUUGCACUAAACCAAUUCGUGGGCCGAACUGCUACGGAAUGAAAGCCGAUGGGUUCUUUUGCAUGUAGGGAACUUGUUUUACCCAUGUCCUAAUACAACACUUUCUCUCGAAAUAUGCAGAUUUGUAUACACCACUCUCGCCCAAAAUAUAUUGGCAUAUACAAGGGAACGGCGAAUUCGUGAAGCAUAAGAACGACGACUUGUUAUCUGGGGACUUCAUCGCCAUGGUGCGGCAAGAUUACUUCGUUUAGCAGAAAUUCUUCAGAAAUACAUAGUGGCUUUUAGUUGCUUUAUUAUGUGUUAUUUGUCUCUGUAUCUUCUUAUUGUCAUCCUUGCAUUUGCAUAUAAUGUAGCUUUUUGCUUUUCUUUUUCUUUUUUUUUUUUGUUUCCCCCUUUUGGUCCCUUGGUUAUAUUUUACUUAGGGUGUAAUCUUUUUCCUAUUUUUGGUUUCUCAUUUGAUUGCCAAGUUUAUUUUUGCAUCAGUUGUUCUGUUCUUUUUAGACUUUGCGGGAGAAAUAGUCUAGUCUUUGUGAUUUGAGUAUGUAAAAUUUGAUGUAUUUUGUACAGUCUCUCCUCUUGAGUUUGUGAAAUGGAAAUCUCUAUUUUGUUUUUGAUCAACUAAUUAGAUAGACAUAAUCUACUAACAACUGGAUCCUAAUAAAAAGAUGCUAAUUUGCAUUUAUAUAUACCAUUGCACCACGAAUUAUUAAUGUUUGUUAGAAGGAAGGGAUAAAGAAAAAUGAGGCGGACUUUCUCCAGGUCGGGACGAAAAUGCUGCAAAAUUUAGCAUUUGCCACUAUUUGGAUUCUAAAUUUCUAAAUUUUGGAUUCAAAUUUAUGAUUAAGUUUUGUAACACUAGUUUCAGUGUCAGCGCAGUUGAUCCUAAAUUAACUUAGUGUAUAAUCAAACAAGAAGUAGUGGCAUAAAGAACCCACCAGAAAACGAGGAAAACUUAGGGGUGAAAAUAGUCGAACACGAUUGGAUAUUUGACAAAAUCAUAUCCGUUUCUAUAUUUAAUACACGGAUACAAACCCCAAGUACAAAACUAAAUUUGAUCGAAAUAAGUUCCAGUACAAUUCGGAGUCGGGACGAACGCGAAUACGAACCGAAUUUUCUAAGUUUGAGUAUACCUACAAUAAGAAAUGCUAGGCAUUAGUUAAAAAGAUGUACUUUAAAUUUUAAAGUAGUUUUGUUUAACAAGCACUAUACAAGAUUUGCUUCUAUUAUUGAUUCAAGUAGUUCUUUUAAAGAUCAAAACUCAAAUCGUCCUCGCCUCGCCUCUCUUUGCGUGAAGAAAAAGGUGAGUAGGAGCGAGAGUCAGUGACUGAAAAUUCAUCAAAUUAAAAAUUUAACUUAAACUCAAAAUUUAAAUUCUAAAAAUCCAAUCAAAUUCGAAAAUAUCAAAUUUAAAAGAAAAAAUUCUUACUUGAACUCAAUAUUUAAACUCUAAAAAAUUAAGCAAAUUCAAAAAUAUCAAAUUUAAACUUAAACUCAAAAUUCAUGAGUUUUUCGGAUCGAAUCAUUACAAUCUCUCUUAGGCCCUAUUUUGGAUGCAUAAAUAUCUUGUUUGGCCUAUUUUUUCUUUAUGUAUUUGACAAACUUGUAUAUUUGCUACAUGAGGAGGUGGUCAAAUGUUCAGAGUUGAAUAUAAUAGUUAAUUUUUAAGCCAAUUUUUUAAAAUAAAGUCACCUCAUUAGUAAAAUAUAUUACCUUACUAAAUCAUUAAUGCCAAGAUCUUUUAAAGGAACAAAAAAUUAAACUCCUAAUUUUCAACCACAUAAAAAAAUUUUAUACCCAAUAAAUUGUUAUUAAAUAUUUUCUUCUUAGAGUCAAAUCAGCCCUUUCAGAAGUAAAAAAAAUUAUACUACCAGCUUUCAGAAAUAGCAGAAAAUCUUUACAUGAAAUAAACCAUUACUGGAUAUCUUGUACAACAUCGAUCCAAGCAACGCUUCAAUUUUGUUGACAUACUAAUUUUGAUUCACACUCUUGAAACCACGAAGCAAAUAGAUCCGUAUUGGCGGAGCUCCUAUCAUGAUCUACUCUAGGUAGGCCAAUAAAUGAAAAAAAAUAAACAUAUCCGCGAUAAUAAAUUAGUCCAUUUUUAUGAUUUGAAAUGGAUUUGGAGCAAAAAAAAAAAAAAAAAAAAAAAGUAAGAAACUUGAUUUGCCCCGAAUUUGCUCCAAAUCCCUCCCCCCGAAGCCUUAUUCCAAAUCAGUUCCAAAUAAAUAUUUAAAUUAGAUAAUUAUUUUUUAAGAAUAUUAUUUUGAGUUUUAGAUAUUAUUUAUUCUUAACAUAAAUCUAAUGUAAAAGAUAGUUGUUUUAAUGGUAAUUUUGUUAUUUAAAUUUUCAUCUUAAUUAAAAUAAUAAAAAAUGACUUAUAUUUAAUUUAAAUUUAAGUACGAUAAAAAAAAAAAAGUUGGUGGGUUGGAUUUAAGGCCCCUUCACAUUGGCAGAGUAGGAGGCGGGGUGGAUCUCCUUGCCACAGUUUCGCUGCAAAUUAGUAUUUGAUUGUAGUAAGCGAAAUAAGAAAUAUAGUAGAGGGGUUAUAAAUAUAAAAUAAUAAUAUUGCCCUCUUUAUGAUAUUUGAAUUAAAAUUUUUAAAUUUUAUAUUUAAAAUUUUAAAUUUAAAUACAUAACUCUUAAAUUUCAAAAAUACAAAAUUAAAAUUUAAAUUUAAAAAUCUCAAAUUCAAAAAUUCAAAGUUCUAAAUUUUUAAUUUCAAAAUAUAAAUUUAAGAACAAAUCUAAAUUUAGACAUAUAAAAUUUUAAAUUAUAAUUUUAAGAUUACAAAUUAUAAACUUUUAAAAUUUAAAAUUUAAAAUUUAAAAUUAUAAAUUAUAAAUUUUAAUUUUAAGAUUACAAAUUUUAAAUUUUUAAAAUUUUAAAUUUAAAUUUUAAAUUUAAAAAUUAAAUAAGGGUGGAAAUAGCUAUUCCUUCUCACCCCUAUUCCAAGGGGAGGGGUGGGAAUAUUACUAUCCCACCCCUUACUUUAUUUGGUUCAGGGAUAAGUAAGAACUAACUAUUCUAGAUAUAGGUAUAAGUCUGAAAUAGCCCAAUUUUUGCGUUUGGAUUAAAAUUGAGUUAUCCCGAAAAUAAGAAAAAUAACGUUUGGAUAGAUAAGAUGCAAUAAGAAAUAUAGCGGGUAGUUAUAAAUAAAAAAUAAUGAUAUUUCCCCUUAUAUUUGAAUUUUAAAUUUUAAAUUUUAUNAAUUUUAAAUUUAAGAUUAAAUUUAAAUUUAAAAAUAUCAAAUAUCAAAAUUUAAAUUUAAAAAAUUAAAAAUAAUAAUUUAAAAUUUAAAAUUUAAAAUUUAGAAUUUAAAAUUAUAAAUAUUUAUUUUAAAAUUAGAAAUUAUUAAAUUUAAAUUAUAAAUUUAAAUUUAAAAAUUAAUUUUUUUCUGUAUAAAGACUCAUUCAGUUUUCAUUUAUUUAGCUUGAAAUAAUUUUAUUAAUUAAAUUAAAUAUUUUGUUCAGAACCAAGACACUUCACUAGCGACUAACUAUUAAAUCUAGAAUUAGAGUAUUUUCGUCAGCUGAAUGAAAAUUUUAGUAGUUCGUCAAAUUUAAUGAGUUUAAUUACUUUUAAUUAAAGACAUUAACAAUUUAAUAGUUAGUUGCUAUGGAGUGUCUUGAUUUCGAACAAAAUAUUUAAUUUAAUGCAUAAAAUUAAUUUAAACCAAAUAAAUAAAAACUGAAUGGGUCUUUAUACAAGAAAAAAAAAGGUUAAAGACCUUCUAGUUAAGUUUGUGGAAUAUAUAUUUUCUCACUUAACCUUUCAAGGGUGAGGGGCAAAACCGGUAAUUAUUUUUGAUCUAACGGAGUUUGCAGAUAAGGAUAAAUUUGAAACAAUAAAAAUAUUUAGAGAGGUAAUUAUGAUAUUACAAAUUUUGUGAGCAGGUAAUUUUGAAACAAUGUAAUUAUUUUUUAUCCUUUUGAAGGGUAUAUGUGAAAUUAACCUUUUUUUAUUUUUUUUUUAUCUCUCUCAUCUCACCCAUUUUCCAAUGACACCCUCUAUAUCUCUCUAUAUAGAUUUGACCUUCUAGUUAAGGGUGUAGGCCUGGCUGAGCAAGACCUAUAUAGAUUUGACCCUUGAAGCCAGGCCUAUAUAGAUUUGAUGCCUGACUUAGGGCCUAUCUACAACUCCAAGGCCUGUUUGUUUACACGGAAGUGGGGUAGAAGUGAGAAGGGAGAAGUAAUUUUCGGUAAAAACAUACCACUUCCGUUGUUUGGUUUACCGUAAUUUUAUUACGCCCAAAAAUCUAGUUCACCCAAAAUAAUGAAAUUGACUUCCCCUCCCAUGGGGGCGAAGUCAAUUUCAAUGAGGUGAAAAUAGACAAGAGUGGGAAUUAAUGUGUUAGGGUUACCCUCUUCUCUACCCUUUCUUCUCAUGAGUCCUAGAUCCAACUCCAAAUAUAUUCAAUUGUGGAAGUAAUUAAAUUUUUUAUUUUGAUUGUAUGUCUAAAAUAUGAUCAAAUUUGGUUAGAAAAGUUUUAAUAUAUUUUUUGUUUAAUUUGUAUAUUUAGAAAAUGAUGAAAAAUGAAUUUGUUAAAUGUUAAUAAUUAUUUAAGUUUAGAAUUUUAUUUGUUGUAUUAUUAUAAUUUAUAUGCAAACAAAUAAUCAAAUUUUUUUAAUUUUUAUUUUAUAAUCAUACAUAUAUAUAAUUAUAUACAUAUAUAAUUAUAUUAAUUUUUAUUUAUUAUAAUUUAUUAUUCACUAAGUUAUAAAAUAGACAAUGAUAUCACUUCGGAGGUAAGUAUACCAGGGGUGAAGAGCUACACUNAAAAAUUCAGACGCUUUUCCGCUUUGUUUUAAACUGAAAAGGGACCCCGGGGCGUGACACAAACAAACAACAGAACUCGCAGAACUGCACUUCCACAAUUAGAAACAAACAGCAGAAGUGAAUUAAUUUUCACCCCAACUUCACUUCAACCCAAAGUCCACUUCCACCCCAAGUCUACUUACAUUGAAACAAAUAUGCCCGAGUCUACCACCAUGGCAGACCUUUGGAGUAUGGGCCUAAUGGCUCAACAACCAUUAAGAUUUUUUUAAAAUUUCUUUUCAAAAAAAAAAAUAUAAGAAAGCUGAAAAGAUCUCUUUCGGUGAAAAUGACCGGAAUGCCCUCACUAACAUUUAAAUUUUUGACUAUUAGAGAGGACAUUUUAGCCAAAAAAUUAAAAAUUUAUAUUUUUAUAUAUUCAAAAAAAAAUUGAAAGCUUUUUAACAUUCGUAAAUACUCCUACAAAUCUCUAAAUUCGUCAUAACAAAUAAUUCAUUAUUCAUUUUCUUCUACAAAUACUAAUUCUUCUACAAACACUUUAUCUUUCCACUCUCAAAUUUUCAAUUUAAAAUUUUCUUUCGAUUUUUUUAAUUUUUUCAACAACCCUUUUUACAAAAUCUUUCCACAAUCUCACCGUACAAAAAUCAUUCUCAAGAAAUAUUUAAUCUUUUAUUUUAGUUUUAUAUAUAUUUUUAAAUAUUUUUUAUUUAAUUAUUUUUUAGUAUUCUUAUGUUUAAUUUUCAAUAACAAUAUCGGGUGAAUUUUCUCAUAUAGAUUUUUCUUAUACUGAUUAUACUCUUGAGUAUUUUAUUGGUAAUCAAUCAAAAACUGCAGCCAGUGUGACUCUACACCAGAUAGUGAUAUCUUUCAACCUUAACAAAAUUUAGAUGCAAUAUCUAAAGAAGCAUCUAAACGAAAAAUAAACGAAGUAUGAAAGUAUUUCGAUAGCAAAAAUAUUGAAGGAUAAGAUUUGUGGACUGUUUGUAUAACAUGUGAGCUCAUUAUUUUUGUGAUAGUUUCGAUGGAAUAGGUUAUCUUAAUCGACAUAUACAGAAACACCAGACAAAAGAAGAUAAAAAGAUAAAACAAUCAUAACUUGCUUUUACUAAUAGUGGUUUUCAAUAUUUUUAUGAAUGUAAUAAAAGAGAGCUUGCUUUAUAUAUUGUAUGAGCUGAGCAACUACAUGCAUUCGCCGAAUAUCCAUAUUUUAAAUAUUGUGUGAAAAUAUCUUUGAAUCCUAUAUAUAAAAAAAACUUCUCGAAAUACUAGUCAAAAAGACUCAAUAAAAGCAUUUCUUGACUAUAGACGAAAUAUAAUUUUUAUUUUAGAAAAUUUGAAUUCAAAAAUUUUACUUACUUUCAAUUUUUGGACGUUAAGAAAUGAAUGCAAUUUUAUAUGUGUUACUGUACAUUGGAUUGAUUCUAGUUAGAAAUGACAAAAAUGAAUUAUAAGUUUCAAGUACUUGAGUUUUCAUACAUUGGUACUCAUAUUGAUCAAGCUAUUGAAAAUAUUUUGCAAAUUUAUAAGAUUAACCAAAAAAAAUUUUCAUGUAGUUUUGAUAAUGCUAGCAAUAAUAGAUCCUAUAAUUAAAUUAAAUGGAGUAAAAAUUGCUCUUACAAAAUAUAAUAAAUUUUUAGAAAUUAAUUCAACAAAUUAUUCAAGUAUGAAAAAUAUUUUUCAAAUAUUAAAUAAUUCUUUAUAUCAAAUAUAUAGUAUUUAUGCAACUAGAUUAGGUAGCAAGCGACCACAUUCUUUGCGGUUGCAAAGUAGCAGCAGUAGUAGCAGUGAUAAAACUAGUGAAAAUAUGAUAUAGUCUUUGGUGAGAAAAUAAAAACAAACUGAUUUUUAGUGCAACUUCUUUUAAUGAACUUUAGUUUUAUUUGUAAACUGAUUAUUCAAAUCUUUUCAACGAAGAUGAAUAAGAUAAGCAAGAUAUAUUAGCCUUGUGGAAGACACAUGAAAGUACAUAUCUUGUACUUUUUGCCAUGGCACAUAAUCAACUAACCAUGCAGAUUUCAAUGGUGGCAUCAGAGUUUCUUUUUAGUGCAGAUGGAAGAAUAUUGAAUGAUUAUAGAACUCGGCUUAAAGAGGAUGCGGUCAAGGUAUUAAUUUACUUAAAAGAUUAGCGAGCUGCAGAAUUAAAAAUACAAGAAAAAAGAGUUCAUGAAUUCAAAUGAAACAUUAUCAUCUGCUUAAAAAUAUAUCAGCACAUGUGGCAUGCUACAGUAGAACCUUCCCGAUCUCCUGCUGCCGCCUAUUACUCAUUGCACCUCUCUUUUUUUAUUUGGUACCUCUUUUUAUUAGAUGCCUAUUUUUAAAAAAAACUAAAAAAUGAUGUAAUGAAGAGAAAAUAGUGUUGCAUUUUAUUUAAAUAUAUUUCUUGAUUUUUUUUAUUUUUUUAUUUUUUUAAUGUAAUUAUGUAAUAUGAUUAAUACAAACUGUAUAUAUUUUUUGUAAUUGUUCUUUUUUUUAGAAUAUCAAUUUCUCUUCAAAUAAUAAAAAAAUAUUAAAAAGUUAAUAUUAAUUUCAUAUUAAAGUUGGUUAUUGGACCAAAAAAAUGUAAGUUAAAAAAUUUAUAUUAAAAAUCUAUAUAAUUAAAAAGUUAAAAUUAUUGAUCUCUAAAUUUUAAAUCUUAUAAUAUUUAUAAUUAAUAAUAUUAAAAAAAUAUAUUUAUUGUUGGUAUUUUAAAAAAAAAACAUAUAAAAUUUUUAAAAAAGUAUUAAAAAUGUUGGGUAUAAUUGUGUAAAGUAAAAUUUAUAAGUUAAAAAUUUAUAAUUUAAAAACGAGUUAUCUCUUUUUUCUAAAAGAAAUAAAUUUUUUCUUGAAAAAGUAAAAAAAAUUAUUGGGAAGAAAUUAAGAAAAAACUAUUCUAGGCUGGCACGAAGCCCAGCCCGGCCUGGCCCGGCUCAUGCUGGGCGGGCUAGCGGGCCGGGCUGGGCCUUUCCACUUAGAUAGAGAGCCCAUAUUCUCCCUUGCCUCGAUCUCUCUCUUCUCUCUCUCCUAGCCGCCCCGGUCCCGUGCUCCCCACCCCGUCUUCUCUCUCUCUCUCUUCUCCUCUCUCUCUCUGUCUCUCUAUAUAUAUAUAUAUAUAAGAUCACAGCUACUACUCUAUUUGAUACCAAGCCCUUGGUCCACUAUUGAGUGUCGGACAUUGAGAAGGCGAUGUGGCGGUAGGAAUGAUAGUGGUCCCCACCGGUUAAUUGAUAGUGUCCCCUAGGGUUGAUGUGGCUGUUGGUUUAAUAUAUUAAUCUAACGGUGGAAUUAAUCGCAUCAAGGGUGAUCUACUGUAGAAAACUCAUAGUACAAGGGCUUACCGUUAUAAUCUACCUUGAUCGUUAAUUUCCACCCGUUAGAUUAACUAUUAAACCAACCACCCACUCAACCCUAGGGACGCACUAUCAAUUUACCGGGGACCACUAUCAUCCUAACGCGACAUCUUCUUCAUCCAACUUGCGCGAAACUCAAAUGUACUCAAAGGGUUGGUACUGAUCGAUAGUUAAUAGCAUAAUUAUAUAUAUAUAUAUAUAGAAUAUAUAUAUAUAGUAUAUAUAAUAAUAGAAGAGAGAAGAGAGAGAGAAGAGAGAGAGAAGAGAGAGAGAGAGAGAGAGAGUCGCUACUAUGCUAUUAAUAGCACGAAGCACUUGUGCUACCAAGUUUUCCGGCCGUUAGACUCACUUUUAUUAUUUUCAAUCGUUAGAUCAUACUAUUUCAACCAACCACCCUCAACCCUAAGGGGGCCCACAUCAUUCUAACCGCACAGCUCUUACCCAAUGCCAAAAACUUGGUAGCAUGGUAAUAAUCGGACUUUUGAUACUUGGUGAGGUGUAAGAAAAGAGUGUGAAAUGAGGUGAACUGUUUGGCAGCAAAUUGACGCGAAAAACGGAUAAAUUGGACCAAUAUUUCAUUAUGAGAGACCAUAUUGCAAAUAGCAAAAUUAAUGGAUUAAAUUGCAAAAUGGCUUGAUCUUAUCCUCUCUCCCUUCUCUCUCUCCCUUUGAAGCGUGCCAGAAACAAGAGAAAAGAAAGAGAGAAAGAGAGAAAAGAAGAAAAGAAGAAGAUGAAGAUGAAUUCGAGGUAAGAUAAAAAUUUCUAUUCUUCUCUUUCCCUUCCCUUCUCUUCUUUUCGUUUCCUUCCUUCCUCUCUCCCUUUCCCUUCUUCCUUUCCUUCCUCCCUCUCUUCCCCUGUGGCUGCUGCUUGCUUGGUUUGCAGCCCUUGGCAGCUGCUUGGGCCGAGGUAGCUAUAGUAGCUCAGCAGGCACAGCAGAUUGCGUCUGGCAGGGCGCGCCCAAUAUUGCGGCAAGGCCAAAGGUUGUUGGCUACUGCAGGGGCAGCAAGAAGAAAGAAGAAGAAAGGAAGAAGAGGAAAAGAAAUGAAAGAAGGAGAAGUGAAAAAGAGACAUCAAGAAAGGAAGAGAGAGAGAGAGAAGAGAAGAAGAUGGAGAAGACAAGUAGAUAAGAUAUAACAUGAAUGAAGUGGAUGUAAAAUUGGAUUGAGUGAUGGGCAAUGCGUGAUUCGCUACCUCUAAUCCUUGCAAUGAUGACCGAGGGGGUCUCGAGAGUGUGAAUUAGUGGUGAUUCACCAAUUUUCGAUGAGGCGCAAUGUAAUAAAUUUCGAGAAAUGCGUGGCGAAUGGGGUCGCGUGUAGCCUUUCUUUUAUCGGAGUCGACAUAGCGAGUCGAGGUGGGUUCCGAGUCGUCGAAAACGGCGAAUUUCCCCCUAUGUCUAUUUUGGUACAAGCUAUAUAAUAUUUGAAUUUGCGCAUCUGGUUUACCUUUUUAUUGAUCCUCAGACCGUGAAAAAUUGAAGCAUGAUAGAGAUUUAGCAUUGACAUCUAAUUAUGAGCAGAAGUAUGUAUAUGCAUAUGCGUAUGAUGAUUUAUACUUGAGCAUUGUGUUGAAUAGACGUAGCUCAUGGCCCUAUUUGUGGUUCUCCGUUCAUGACUUUGUUUAUUGAAGAGAUUAUUGAAAGAGAUGCUAUUAGCAUGAAGUUGAGUUCAUAUGCAAAGAUGAGAAAGUCACACUUCUUUCCUCGCCAUGAUAUAGUAAUUGUCAGCAAUAUUUAGAUAGUUUAAUUCAAGUCUUGGGAAGCCAAUUGACAUUUCAUGUAUCUUGAUUUAGUCAUCUAUUAUUCACUUAUAUCGUGUAUGGUAUAUAGUAUGUGAUAGAAAUGUCAUUUUGAUGCGUCAUUAUUAGUCGCUUGUAUCGUGCAUACCAUAUAGUGUGUGUCAGUGGCCAUGGAUAGCGCGGCAAUGGUGUACAGAGAUUUGGACAUAGAGAGGGCCUUUGUUUAUUCUGUCGUGAUGUUUGACCUACUAUUUACUCUAUGAUUACUCUGAGGACAUUGGAUUGGGCACUAUGAUAUUGUUGACCAUGACAUAGACUAUAGCCUGCUGAUGUCACCUUGAGAUGACAGACUUGUGCUAUGAUACUCGGUAGGGGUUGCUCCCCUUCGAGUGCCGCUCCGGACGCUGGCCAGUUAUAUCAGUGAUAUGUGUACCCUUGGGAAGACGACCCACCUGCGGGAGUGGUGUUCGGGCUGGGGGUAGAGCCUAGGUGUCGACGGUGCACCUGCGGGAGUGCGAAUUCCGACACUAGGCGGGCGCAGGCUUGACCGAACGUACGAGUCGGUCGUUGUGAUUGGGUAUUAUUAAACAUUGUUCCAUACACUACUCCGUUGCUUUCUUUUCCUCUCUCUACAUAUAUAAAAACAUGAUAGUACAACAGGUAUAGAAACAGGUAUGGAGAGUUGUUUAUAUCACAUGCAGAUAUUUAUUUACUGUUACUUUACAUUUGUCUAUGCAGGUCAUAGUCAGUUAGCCUUCUACUAUGCUUGACAUUCCUUUACGCUGCUUAUAGUUGAUUAACUUGAUUGUCACUUAUGAUCAUUCGUUUAUCUGCUUAGUUAAUUUCCUGGUACACUUGCGUUUCAGCUACUUAUGUACCGUAUAUGUUAUUGUUCAUUUAUUAAUUUGGCUUCCAGUAGACCUAGUGGGAAGGUCGUGGUUAUCGAUGAUCGUACCCACUGGGAACUGCUGUUUAGUAGUUCUCACACCCUUUGGUGGUUUAUUUUUUCAGGGGUCGUAUAUUGGCGGUUGAUCGAGAUGAGGGGGAUCGCGCAGUAGUUAGCAUCUCCUACCCAUAUGCCUUUACAGUAGAGGGCCACCAGAUAGAGUGCUAUUUUUGUACAACCUGCUUGUACUGGCGAGGGUCUGGAUUGUUUUCGUAUACUUUCCUUUGUAGUUGAGGUUUGUUUGGUGAUAUUCGUGUUGUACGGCAACUUAGUUGAGAAAUUAUAUAUAUAUAUAUAUAUAUAUAUAUAUAUAUAUAUCUUGAUCCGAUUAUAUGAUAAUUAUCGUGGUUCAGUAACCACGAUGGUUCAAAAAUCGGUAACCUAAUUCUCUACGCAUCAAUUUUACUACACCCGGGGAUCCGAUUAUAUGAUAAUUAUCGUGGUUCAGUAACCACGAUACAGUGCGGGGCUCAAGUGUUGCCUUCUGAUGCUCUGCGAUUGUCUGGGCGGCUUGCCUGUCUCAGAGGGGACAGGCUUGCUUCGCCGUUGUUUUAGCUGUUCAUGUUUUGUUAAGUGCUCCAGCUUGUCCUGUCUGUAGGUGUUAUGUUCUUAGUUCUUCCUCAUGUCUUAUUUGUUUACUGUACAUAGUCUCACGGUAAUCUUUUUGUAUGUGGGAUGUCUGUCCUGUUAAUGCGAGCCUCGUGAGAUGUUUUGUACUUCGUCGAUUUUGUUGCCGACGAGCUGAAUCGUUCGAGGGACACGGGGAGAUCUGUCCGUGUCGACUCGGUCUGUUAGCCGUCUCGUAAGUCUUGUUCGUUGUGAACUCGGGGCGAGGUGAGCAGGCGAGCGCAGAGAGCUUUUUUUGGAGAGAGAGUGGCGCGUGAGGCGCGGCCCGGAUCGAAAUUAUAUAACUAGCGCAUGGCGUCCUUAAUCCAAGUGGCUAAAAACUUGGUAGCACAAUGAACUUGGUGAUUAUGAGUAUAUAGCCUAGUCUUAGGUAUAAGAUAUAUAUGAUAUAUAUAUAUAUAUAGUAUAUAGUAUAUAAGAGGUUGGACUGGGUAGCUAUUAGUAGCAAAUCGCUCAUUGUUACUAACCGAGUUUUUUACUCUUUGGAUCAAGCUCUUUUCGAUCAUUGGUCUAAGUCAAUGUGGAUUAAAUACUAUUACCCAGUGAGGACUCAACCCUAGGGUGGACCACUUCACCGUAAACUGACUAGAUAUAUCCUAACUGUUCGCUACAAUUUUCAUCCAAGGGUUGAAAGAACAUUGAAUCAAAGAAAGAGAUGUCACUAUCGCGUAGCGACGUGGGGUCCCGUCACGCAAUGGGUUGUUUCCGAUGAUGCGCUCUAUCGGAAGAUCGACGUCGCUCCCGUUGAGACUGUGGAUCUACAAUUCUUAUUAAAGGCAUUGUGCAGAACUAAAUUGUCAUAAUUUUCGGAGGUAUCAUUUACGCUAUCAAGCAAAUACUCUAAAUUGAACGCUGAAAUAAAAAUUCUAUAAAAUGAUGAUUAAAAGAUUAUAAAUUCAAAGAUCAGAUAGUACUGAUUUAUUCUACAUAUAGUGAAAAGCAAUUUCUAUAACAAUUUUCUCAGAUUGGAUUUGUUUUUACAACCAUUAACUCACAAACACGGCACAUCGGCCAUUAAAAAAUGCCAAUUUUGAUGAUAUCUUUAUACACUUAAGCAAUGAUGGUCGAAAAAUUAUGAAUGUACUCCAAAUACUUUAAUAGUGUAGAUCAAGUCUAACGGAGCCUGAUCGUCGAUUUUGGAAGCCGCAUCAUCGAAAACAACUUGUGUAGCUGGUAGUUCCGUGCUACCAAGAUAGUAAGGCAGCUGGCAACCUUCCUUGGUUGCUUUCAUGGCUACUGCUACCAUGGAUAUUGUUGUAGGUGCUUGUUUUGGCUGUGGUUGCUUCUCCGGCCAUCUGGCGCCUUCAGCGACCCUUCGUUGGUGAGCACGACACCCUUGGAAGUCAGUGCUGGUCCAUUAUCACGCCCCAAACCCGAUCCUUUUGGCCGGUUCGAGCGCGUCGAAAAGACGCCGAAUGGACAGAGCCUCCCCCGUCCGCCCAAGGCUCAGCAACAGGUACAGAUAGAGUAUAAAGUUUGCACUUGCGGAAGCAUACACAAUGACUUGCACGAGGGUAAGCAAUAGCCAAAGUGAAAGUACUAAACUAAACUUCAACAAGUAAUAUGAUUAACUUUAAAUCACAUACAUGUAUACUACUUUAAUCAAGUUCCUUUACAUGCUCUUACAUCAUUUCUUUUUACAUCACAAUGCUCCAAAACCUUAAUUUUUGACAUUUAAAGUAAAUAUCUUUUACAUCAUACUCAUAAGCAUCUAGAAUCAUCAAAUACAAAAGAUGAUAGUAAAGGAAAUGCAACUACAAAAUAUGAAACCAUCUCGGGUGGUCUCUAUCUAGGGCGCGAUGCCCUUACCGCGGUCGUUCGCCAGCUCGCUUGGUUCCGGCUCUGUGGAAAAUGGGGUGUGAGAACUACAACAAAGUUCCCAGUGGGUUCGGCAACCAACCACGCCGACUUUCCCACUAGGUCUAAAUCAGGCAUAAUAGAAGAACAGAUAGAUAGUAACCAACUAAACAAAUGCAGCUAAUAUGCUUGAACAAUAAGUAAUGCGAUGCUCGAUAAAAUACUCAUGAUGAAUGCAAGAUCAUAGUUUCAUUACCCAAUCUCUUGGCUAGCCCGUAGGUUUCGCCCUCAAUAGACUCACCAACUCAAAUCUCAAAUAUUGGGGAGACUACUACGCCCGACGGGACCGUCCUCUGGGGAGACUACUACGACCCAGUGAUGACAACUCCGGAGCACAUCGCCCGAGGGGGAGCUACCACCCUCUAGCAAGGACUUACAGGUGAGUAUAAUCCAAUCCUUAACUAUAAGGAUGUCAAGUUCAAUCCAUUCCUUAACUGUAAGGAAACAAUGUACAUAUGACCCUUAACUCUAAGGUUUCUAUGUCAUAAUGUCACAAUAUUACUUUCUCUGUUCACUUGCAUUCUUUGACUUACACUAGUGUCAUACACAUUACUUUGUUCUUGGUACUCAUUUACUCAUGUCACACUUGUUUUCUAAGUGUUCAACUCUAGUGUUCUUGGCUCUUCAAUGUCACUCACUACCUUUAUGUCAACAUGUCACACUUGUUCUCUAAUUCACUAAGUUCUUGUCAUUUUUUCAUGCAUACAUAGGGUUUAUAGAUUCUCACUUGUAUUUCACAUGCAUUUGAACUCACAACAUGUAAUAAGAAGCUCACAAUAACCUACUAUGCAAUAUGCUCAAUAGAUACAAAUGCUCAAAUAUGACACUUUAGACAUAAAAAAAAUUUUGAGGUCUUCGGUGCACCACCCACCUUGUAUGGUUGCAAAGGUGCUAUGGUAAAUUUCUUAAAAUUUUUGAUGCCCUAUUUUUUCGCUUGCGACAAAACGAAGCCAAAUUAGGCUUUUUCUCAAUAACUUUAUCUAGACCUUUUCAUAACGUAAAAUGGAGUUGUCCCACACGUCAGGAAUACCCCGAAUUAGGUUUCCAAGAGGUCAAUUUACCUCGAAAAUAAUUGGAGACAAAAGCCCCAAAAUUCAUGCCCUAAUAAUGCCAUAAUGGGAUUUCUCCUAGAUUGAUCUCAUUUCUAAGCAAAUACUAGCUUAGAAUCACCUAGGAAGCUCUCUAAUACUAUUUCCAAGCUAUUUGGACCAUUCCUAGGGCAUCUACUUUAAACCUUAUCUGUUCACCAUAGGAGCACCUUGAGAAAACCAUGGUUUUCAUGGUGUUCAAGGCUCACAAUACUUCUAAACAUGAGAGAAGCCCCAAAACCUUAAGUUUCAUAGUGGAAAUUCAAACCCUACAUGAGCUUUUGUACUAAAACUCACCUUAGCCAAAAGCUAUCCCCAUGUCCACCUUGAUGGAGAGCUUCUACACCUUCAAAACCUUCAAAAAUCUCCUCCAAGCCUGCUUUUCCUUCUCAUCCAAGCUCUACGGCAAGAUCUCUAGAGAGAGAAAGAGAGAAAUGAAAGGGAGAGAGUGGAGGGGUGUUUGCUGUGAAGGAGAGGAGUGUUGGGUUUAUUAUAGUGUGCAACAAUUACAACUAGGCCCUCCAAAUAUUUGUAUUUGCAACAGAUCAAUUCCUUGCUGCCAGACCAAAGUGUACCGAUACACGGGACUCUGUCACCGGUAACACGAUUACGCAGAGCCAAACUCGAGAGCAAAUUCCUCGAAUUUUACCAAAGUGUACCGGUACACACUAGGGGUGUACCGGUACAUUUCUGCGAAAACUCAAACCCGAGAGCAAACUCUUCUCGGUCUGUAGGGCUGUACCGGUGACAACUCGAUGGUUGUACCGGUACACUUUGCCCAGAAUGCUGGUUUUGCACCGUUUUCGAUUCUAUUUCGCGCCGAUCGAUGCUAAAACCUUUUUAACACCUCUUAAACUCAUUUUUUCCCCUUCCAACAUUGUUGGAAUGCUAAAUGCAACUUGCCCAACUAUUUCUUUCGCAUUGUUCACUUUUAAAUCACGCCGAGGAAUGCUAAAACUUGCUUAACACUCUCGGCACUCGACUUUGACCCUUCCAACAUUAUUGGAAUGUCAACCGGACUUUGUUCAUCCAUUUCUCUCGGUACUUUAACCAAUUUGGCUAAAGUUUGAUAAUCGCUAUCGAGGUUUCGAUACGUUGCAUCCAUGCUUCCCCAAGUUUCAGGUAAUGGUGCCUCGAAUUGCCGUUUUCAAAAGUUCCCACCCGGUGUUUAAUAAAAUGAUUAUUUCUUACUUCGGCUUUUUUGGUUAAUCCGAUGGUCGAAAAUUAGAGUUCUUGGGAGUACGAUGAUCGUGAGGAAUCCCUCUACGCUGUGCUCAUGUUGCUGGUGCGAAUCGGAUGAUCGGUGGAAUCAUGAACCUGUUGUACCCGAUAUUGGCUCCACAUGGCCUAUUCUUGCUCUCCGACGGUCAGUGACCGUUGGGUGACUCUGGUGCUUGUUCACGGUAGCCAGAGGCACGUCAUCCAUCCUCGUGCACUUCUGUUUCAUUUCCGGAUUAUGGAAGUUCGAUAAGUUGCUCAAAUUUUCCUUUAUGUUGCUUUAGUUAAUGUUCAUGUGAUUGCAUUAUGAAUUCAGCGUUUCGAUGCUUUUUGCACGGUGGGCAGUGUUGGACAGCGAUGUUUAGUAUGGUUGGAUGCUUGGGCUUGUUGUUGGAGGUCCCAAAACCUCCUGCAGUCGAUUUGAUGCGAAACAACCCAAAUCGGGCCGAAAUCAAAUCGAUAAUGCGGUUUUCGAUUUUGUUAUCAUGAAAUCGAUAUUGCUAUUGUCCAAAUUUGUUGUUAAGCUUGUUGGUUGGUCUAGCCUCGUGUUUUGCAUCCCUCGUGACAGUGAGUGCAUUGUGGGUGGUCCCGGUACCGAAAUAGGUAUUUCGAAAAUUCGGUUUGAGUUACUUUUGGAAAUUUAGAACCUCGUGUCGCGUACUUUGCGUGUAGCUGUCCUAAAACUUAAAAUGUGGUGUUUGGGAAUAGCAGAUGUGAUUUGGAGGUGUUUGGUGUGACCCAGUACACUACAUGAGCUGAAGUGGCAUCUCAGUGAGUUUAUGCGAAUUUCGGCGGAAUUGGUAAAUGUGUUCGAUAUUCUGAUUAUGCCAUUGCAUGUUGUGGGUAACUUUAUGUCACCAAUUGGUGAUGUUGUGGUGUUGAGAGUGUCUUGGGGUUGAUUAUAUAGUUCGUGUGUGAUUCGACACUUUCGGAUCUGCGCUUUUCAUUCCCACCAUGACGUUGUUCCACAAUUGUUGUCCAGUUUGCCCACCACUUGAUGUGUGGGCGUCUCAGCACCUAAAGAUGUGUAUCUUGGAAUUGUGGACAUGUUGUUGUGACUCCCUAUUGAGUUGGCUAGUUUUUGGGCCUAGUUCCAUAAGCUAGUUUGUGGAACUGAGGUUCCGGUCGCAUCGUGGUAUACGUGGGUGUGGGUUGAACGUGUCGGGUGAUAGAAAUAACAUGUAGGAUACUGAUUGUAACAUAUCGUCCCUUGUAAAUCGUGUCGAGUUCCGUCGAAAUGAGCGGAACGCGGAGUGGAACGGGUUUGUAUAGGCUCUAAGUGUAUUGGAGCCUAUAUAAGGUGUUAAGGGACCCGAGAGAGUGAAAUUUCAAAAUCUGGCUAAGUUCUAGAUUUUGUGCUCUCAGGGACCGGUCCCUGAAGGAGAGACCGGUCCCUGUACGUGUAGCCUGCCAGGAAUCCUGGGGCAACCGGUUCCUGGCAGUGAGACCGAUCCCUGAGAAACCGGUCCCUGAGGGAGAGACCGGUCCCUCAUUGCGCAGCCAGCCAGGAAACCCGAAAAUCGGCUAAGUACUGGAAAUCAGCCUUUUGGGAACCGGUCCCUGGUCGGGGAGACCGGUCCCCCACUAUGAGUUUUGCCCAGUAAGGGCUGAUGCAAAUAUUGGGAGUUGAGGGGUCUUGUUGCUAUUGUUGCAACAUGUUAUGUACCCAUCCCCUCUUACCCUCUCUUCCAUAGCCAUUCCCACUCCCCUCUCUUAUAUUUCCCUCUUUCUCUCUCUAAAAGCUUAGGCUAGGGCUUGGAAGAGAAGGAGAAGAAGCUAGGAGAAGGUGGUUUCAAAGGAUUUGGUGGAUCUAGAAGCUCUCCAACAAGAAGGAGCUUGCUAGAACUUGGGCCAAUGUAAGUUCUAGCAUGUAGAACUCUAGGGUUUGGAUUUUAACCCUAAGUUUUGGGAUCUUGAGUUUGUUUCAAGCUUUGGAAACCUUGUAGAGCUAAGAAACCAUGAAAUCCAUGGUUUUCUUGUACAGCUCUCAUGGUAGAUCACUAGGGCUCAUGGUAGAUGCCCUAGGGAUGGUUCCAAAGGCCUAGAAACCUUAGUAGAAUGCUUCUUAGAUGAUUCUAAGCUAUUAUUUACUUAGGGUUGAGAUCAAUUUAGGAGCUAUCACAUUAGGGCAUUGUUAGGGCUCAAAUUUGGGGCUUUUGCCCUAGAAUUUUUUCGAGGCAAAUUGACCUCAUCGAAACCUAAUUCGGGGUCAAAUGAACGUGUUGGACAACUCCGUUCGUCGAAACGAAAAUGUUUAAGUAUAGUCCAUGUACAAAGGACCUAAUUUGGGCACUAUUUUGGGUUGUAGGACGCGGAUCGUCGUUCGUAAGGUUCGGGAGAUUAUCGCGUUCGUCUUCUACUACCUCACAAUGUGAGGGGUGCAUUUCAAAAUCGUUGGAUUCCCUUCUAUGUCUAUAUCCCUUGUUAUUUGAGCAUUAUGUACGGUAUCGUCCAUGCAUGAGAGGGUAGUUGUACAUGAGAGUUUUGGUUGUUUACUUAUAUGUUUCUAUCUUGAAUGAACAUAGAGAACGAAAACCAUAAUUGACAUGUAUGCUGGAACCCUAGAGAUGCAUGAGUAUGAGACUUGGACCUUGAUUAUAGUAAACAAGGGUGACAUUGACAAUAGAGACAAGAUUUGGCAUUGAGAAAAUAAUUGUUAAACAUAGUUUAACCAAGAGUGGCAUUGUGACAAGAUGGCUUAGAAAAUGACAUGAACAAAUAGGUAGAAACCUAUCAUGACAAUGGCAUUGAGGCUAGUGGCUAAAGUAUCCUCAAGUUGAGGGUUGGAUCGAUCCUCACGCGAACUUAGGCUUGAGGGAGGUCGCUGCUCCACAAGCGGUGUACUCCGGAGUGUAGACACCAACGGGGAAGUACCCCGUCGACGAUCCCUCGGGUGGUUGUGCUUAAAGCCUCCCCCGGUAGAUGGAAAAUGAAAUUGUGAGUUAUUGGGGUUAACAAAGUUAACCGGUAAGAUUGGGUAAAGAAAGACAAGGUAAAGAAGAGAACAUGCAUGCAUGCAUAUUAAAUAUUGUUGAUUACAUAUAUCCACUGACCUUCUUUCUGCAGGCAUAGUAUUAGAUGCACUAGUUGUUAUGGUUACUGUUUCCAUUUCCUUGAUAUACUUAUGCCUGGAUAGACCUAGUGGGUAAGUCGGCGAGGUCGGUUGUCGAACCCACUGGGAAUUUCGUUCUUGUUCUCAUUACCACUAACCCUACAGGUCCGAGCGCGAGUGGGGUGGCGGAGGACCGAGGCAAGGGUUUAGCGCUAUAGUUAGUGGCCACCGGGACAUCAUUCAUUUUGUAGUCAUUUCUCUUUUUGGUAUACAUGAAUCAACUUUCGUUUUGUUGAUUUAGAGUUGUAAAGUUGAAAAAAUAAUUAUGUAGUGAAUGGCUAAAAUUGUAAUGAAAUGAUGAAGGAAUGGAAAACAAUGAAUUAGUAUUGGUUUACUUUUAUUUGGUGCAAAAGCAAUCAAGUACUAUGUAUGUAAUAUGUUAUAGCUUAGAGCUUUCGCUUUCGUUGUUGCUUGCCCUCGUGCAAGCUUUGUAUAAUUGCAAUUCUCAUUGUUUGAUUGCUUUAUUAUACUUGUUGUUAGAGCCUUGGGUGGACAGGCGAGGCUCUGUCCGCUCGGCGUCUAUUGACGUGAUCUGAACCCGACCAAAUUGGCGGGGAUUGGGGCGUGACACUGAUGGUGGUUUUUGGUGGUACUUCUUAGGUAUAGGUGAUGGUUAGAUACAUCGGUCGAGUUGAGAACUCAGAUACUGGGUGAGGUGAGUGCUCCAUUCCAAAGUCGGUAAAAUUGUAUCUUAGUCGGCUUCCUCUUAUGUUUGAUCUAUUCUAUAUAGUGGUUGAGUAGGACAACAUGUCGUGGCUUCAUAUUGGUAUAUGCUUUUACUCUAUAUGCAUGUUGCUUGUUAUGUUGGUUAUCAUGUCGAUUCUUAGUCUCUUGAUUAAUUUUUCUUUAUAGUUGUUGUUUGAUAUGUAGAGUAGGUGGUGAUCUGGUGUAUUAUCCACCUAUCCAUGAUAGGACCUAAUUGGUCGGUGUGUAUUCCUUGUUGAGUAUUGAUUAUGUGGGUUCAUUGAUUUAUCCCUUGUGCAAUUGGACCCCCAUCGGUCUGCUAUCCUACUAUGUGUGAUUUUAUUUUGUAAGUUGGCACUCUUUUUACGAGAUUGACUAUAGAAGUUGGUAGACUCAUUGUGUUCAUGAUUGAGACCCCAACAUGCUACUCCUUUGCUCCCUUAUAAUUAUCAUCAUCCUCGUCAUGUAGCAUGCUAGUUGACGCGAGAUUUCCUCUUGGCUCUUCUUGUCGCCUGUGGGCAGUAAUUUGACUAUGAAUGAGCUUUGAGUACACACAUGUGGUUAUAGCUUGUGACGGCACUGUAGUAGUCUUAGAACAUGGUUCACAACCUUGAGUUCUUCAGUUACCAGCCCAGUGGGAGGUGUUGUUUCAUGGCCACCCUAAGUUCUUCACCCCUAGAUUUGAUGUACACCUCUCUUAGACAGAGUUAUCGACAUUGGGUGUAGGUGGUUAUGUUCCUCCAGAGUGGUACUUGAUUUUUGUUCUUCACGACCUAGUGGGCGAGCUUAGGCCGGUCUUUAUGACAAGUCAUGGUGAUUGGGUAUAAUUUGGACUAUUCUUAUGUCCAGUUGAUGCAUAGUAUCUCUGAUAGAGUUAUGCAUGGUGUUCAAGUAGUUGUUUGGAUUACAGUAGCGGUAUUCCUCAUUAGUGACUUAUGAUAUUUCAUUAUUUAUCAUCUUACUACUAUAGUUGGUGUUCCUAUUGCAUUGUAUAUGACUUUUAUUUACAGUAGCGGUAUCCUUUGGUUAGUUGUUCAUGAUAGUUAUUCACUUGUUAACUUGCUAUUGCUAUUCAUAGUCAUUGCAUUCAGUACCUAGCUUUAUGUUUAUAAUAGCAGCAUUAUUCUGUAUUCUAGUUCAUGACACUUAUCUAUUUACAUUAUGCUACUGUGAUUGACUUGUCCAUAUUUGCAGUUAUUCGUUUAUUGCACUCCUUUGUUUACCAGUGAGUGCAACUUGCCCUCGUCAGUUGGUUCGUCCUAGUGGAAAACAUAUUUAUAUGUCUCUCACCUUACUGUUUUUACAAGUGUCACUGACAGUGCGCAUUGGGGCACGGUAUGAGGAUGCGAUUAGCAAGCGCCUAGAUAGCUCGUGCUGUCGAGUUAGUUCUAGAUUUAUUCUUAUUCAUUAUAUUUAUUUCAUGUGGAGGUUUUGUGAUUUGGUUAUUGUGGUUUGAGUUUAGCUAUUGUGUUGGGUUUUCCUAUUAUAGUGGUUUAGCGGGAUCCUAAUUAUGGUUUUGAAUAGUUACAAGUUGUGGAAGCUUUCAUAUGUACAUCUACCUUGUUCAAGUUGCUUGUGGUUGCGUUUUUGUGCUCGUAAGCCGUGCAUGUAUAUGGGAGACUCUGUCCGCGUGGACUGUAGUGUCCCUAGGACUUAACUGUCGGAAUAACUACAAUAUUAAUGACUAGUCGACACAUUUAUAGAGUGUCAGAAAUAGUCGGAGUCGUUUUGGCGCAAAUAGAUGCGAAAACGGACUCGACGCACUCAAAUAAGCCAAAACUGAUGUUCUGACAGUUUAGGGUGCCCAGAAGCUUAGGGCACCUCGAUUCAGAGUGCUAUUUGGUAUAUGUUGCUAAAGUCAUUACAGACCCAGUUUAGAGUGCCCAAAAUAUGCGCUCAAAUUCUUCCUCGUGAAUAUCGAUUGUUUUGACACGUGGCAUGUGGUAGGUUUGAGUUGCAAAUGGAGGUUAGGCACAUCAGACCGCCACACGGGUGAGUCAUUUUGCUGGAUGCAGUGGUAAGCUGUUUGCGGCACCCGAAUUAUGGGUUUAGGGUGCCCGAAUCUGCAUUUUCAGUGCUGAAAUAGGUUAGCUUCUGUUUUUCUUGUGGCUUAUUCUACCCAUCUAUUGCUUAUAUUGCUUCUAUAAAAGGCUGUGGAUAACUCCUAAGAGCUCUUUUACUUCAUCUUUCACAUCAAGCUUGAAUUCCUCAUCUAAAUCACCUCCAAUUUAGCUCAAAUCCAUCUAUUGUUCCCUGUGAGUAGGCUUCACAGCAGGAAAAUCCAGCAACAACUUCAACAAAGAAUGGAAUUGUGAUUUUUUGAUGCUUCCGAUUGCUGUGGGAAAUUCUUUGGUGGAAUGUAGACUUGAAGGAAUGUGUUUGGAACAAUCCUAUAGUAAUUAAUUAUAGGUUAAUUAGUGAUAUUAAAUUGCUGAAUUUAGCUUGAAUUGGAGAUUUUGAGCUGAUUUUGGAAUUUUAUUAGAGUUCAUGGAUUCGAAUCCCAUUUCAACCCGAUUUUCGAAGUUGAAUCAGUUCCUACACCUUUCUUGGGUAUUUUAGGUGUUCUUUCACUAGGAAUUUCAAAUUUGGAAGGUCAGUUUAAUUCAGAAUUUUGAAUUUUUGUGUAAUAGAGCAGUUUUGGGAGACUUCGCUUGAUUUUAAUGAAAUUUUGGAUCCAGAUUUUUAUAGUGAGUUGAUUGCUGGAUUUGGAUUGGUUAUUCUCUUAUAUUUGGAGGUUUUAGACUCCUUUCCAUGGAAUUACAAAUUAGAAUUCUUAUAUUCUAGCUUGAAGUGAGUUGAAGUGCUGAGUGCUAAUUUUUUGAAUGCUGAUUUGGGCAUUCUUUUCUGGAUCCGAAUUGUCUUGAAGGACUUUUGGUUGCUAUUUUAGUUGAGAACUGGUGAGGCAACACACCUGGGUGAUUGGUCCUAUUACUAGGAGGUGAGUUUGAGUAAUUUUAGCACUUUAAUUCUAGAUUUUGCUCUGUUGAGCCUGUUUGAAAUAAUGCCAUUUUGGUUGGUGAUGUUACUGAUUUGUGCUCAGCCAGAACUUGUUGUUUCGGGAUCCAACAGUGAGGCUAUUGUGUGAAGGACUUAAGUUGGGCUUGUUGAUCACGGUAUUCCUUUCUAUGGUUCGAUUAGCUCUUCAGGUUGGUUAAUGUCUACCGAAAUUUGUGAAAUUUUUUCAAAGUUGUAGAGAUUUCGGCAUGCAUUAUUUUGUAUCAAUCAUCAUGUUUAGUGGCUUAAAUUGUAGACUUGCAUGUUAAUGUAUGAAAUCUGAUUUUGGAGUAUGAUUUAGAUAUUUUAGAUGAUUACUACAUGCUGAAUUGAAAAUUAACUUAGGAGAAAACGUACACAUUGAACUUGUCAUUUAUUCGAUCAGAUUUAGCUUCAGAAGCUUUUUUUUACUAUUGUAUUGUAGAUUUUACUGCGUCGCGGAUACUUAUACAUUAGUAUAGGUAGAGAUUAGGCUCAUAUUGAGAUACCAAGUGGAUUUUAUAGUAAUGUUUAGACUGUUUGUAAGACCCUAGAUAUUCCUAUAUAUAAGAUAUAAUAGGGCUGAAACUCUUAAUCCAACUUAAGCAUUUUGGGUAGUGGGUAGGCCCAAAAGGUUAAGAGAGUUAAGCAUGCUAGGACGAGAGUAGUCCUAGGAUGGUUAACCCCUAGGAAGUUAAGGCGUUACACUGUUCCGCAUUGUCGGGUGCCAUUCGGAUUAAUGGUAAACCCAGAUCCUUUCUUUUGUAUAAGAUUGUGUCGUGUUUAGGAUAUUUCUAAGUUGGCGAAGUUCGUGAAGUCGAAUGGAGUCUUAAAGAAGUGAAGAUGGAGAUUGAAGAGAUGAUUCAAGUAAUUCAAGAUCAAAAGACUCGUUCGGUGAUGCUCGGAACCCCAGGUAUGGAUAAGAAUAAUUUGUGGUGCAAUAUUGAUUUAUAAACAUAUUUGGAAGACUUAGGAUGGUUUUAAAAUCAAUUCUAAUCAAAAACUAAGUUUUUCAGGGUUCGGGGACCGGUCCCUGAACUGGGGGACCAGACCCCGUAGGUUCUCUCUGCGUGGAAACUACGAGGGACCGGUCUCUGUUCUUGAAGGACCGGUUCCCGUAAGGUGUCUCAUUUGAUACGAUCAGAGGGACCGGUUCCUGAACUGAGGACCGGUUCCCGUAACUUGAUUUCCACAUUACGCAGAGACAGACCGGUCUCCGACUUGAAGGACCGGUUCCUGUGGCUUGUGUUUUCAACCAUGCAACGAGGGACCGGUCCCUGGCUUUGAGGACCGGUCCCCCAAGGACCGGUCUCUUCGGGAGGACCGGACCCUAAGACCGUCGUCAGUUUUUAAAAUUGUGUUUUUGAAAUCUUAGUCUAUCUAGAAGUCUUCUAAACCUAUAAAUAUGAUAUGAGGAGCCCCAUAUGACGCAAGCUUAGAGAGAAAACUUUUUAGAAAUCCUAACGGCUUGAUUCGAAGCUUUUGAUCUAUGUUUUACAAAUCAAGUUUUUCUUUGAUCACCGAUUCAGUUCUUUGAUGUUUGAUUUCAAUGGUUCUUUAAGGAUCAAAUCGGUGAUGUUCUAAUUAGGGUUUCUCCUCAUAUCAUAUGUGCUUUCUAAGUUUUUAAAUCACCACAAAGUAUUAACAUUCUUCGAGCUAUGGAUGGAGCGUUGGCGCGUGGACUUUGCGUGAAGGCUGUGGAUUCGGUGGGCGCUUCGUGGAUUCGAGACGUGUUUGCUGCGAGGGCUUGCAGCGUGAUCGGUUGAAGGAGUUCGAUCGAUCGAGGACCGGCGAAGGCGAUCUACAACGAGGAUUCGGUAAAUUGAGUCGUGUAUUUUCGGUAAAUCACUUGUACUCAAUUUUUCAUAGUGGAUUGUUUUGUGUGAUUGGUCCCGUAGGUUUUUCUCUCCGGAUUGGAGUUUUUUCACGUUAAAUCUCAGUGUUUGGUUUUAUUUUUCGCUAUUAGUUUUAUUUUGCAUCGAGAGAUUUGUUUUUGCCAUUUACACCUAUUCACUCCCCCUCUAGGUGUUAUUUAUCUUUUAGAUCUUUAGGAUUCAUAUCUUACAUGCUUGGUUCCUAGAUCUAUUUGAUUAUUUGCAUCGACUAUAAACUGCGUGAGCCUAAUUGAGCUCGACACAGUGUGCUCUUUUGCUCAACUAAGUAUCUUCCCUGAGUGCCACUCCGGAGUAAGGCCUUCUUGCAUUCUUGUCGCAGUAGUCCUUUUGGGCAUUCAACUUAGACCUUGUGGGUAGUGUACGGAGUAGCAUGGGCACAGGCUGGACUUGCCGGUUGGCGGUCGCUUUGGAUUGAGUCAAUUGUAAUUGUUUCAUAACUAGUAAUGCAUAUAUACACAAAGAACAUGAUAUGAGUAGUGGUAGUGUAAUGGCGUAUUAGCUAUAGAGUUUAUUCUAGCUUACCAUAUUGUUCUUUUACCUACCAACUAUACUGUUAAUUUUGUAGAUUUAGUCGGUAGGCUGUUGGGGCCAGUGACGAUAUACACUAAGGACUACUUUGUUUGUAAUAGUUUUCACACCUAUUGUUGUCAUUUUUUCUUAUAGAGCCUUCGGCUGCUGCUGUAACACACUGAACUUUAGCAAAUUGCGAUGUUCUAGUGUUAAAAUAGCGUUUUAAGCUAUUUCCGGUGUUUUUGUUGGUCGUUGACUGAGUACCGACCCAUUUCUCAUGUUGCAGGAAUGCGCGAAAGAGAACUUAGCAUCAAAACCUCCAAACUGCAGGUUUUGGGGUGCUGCGUACCGGUAGCAGAGAGAAGGGGUACCGGAACUCUCCUGUAUAAUUGAGAAAAGCUGCUCUCGGGUUUGAGCUGUUGGGUGGUCGGGUACCGGUACGGCAUCGGCUGAGUACCGGUACGCCGCACUGUUUCUGCUUGACCGAGGCUCGGGUUUGGCAGUUUUGUUGACUUGGUACCAGUACUCUUUCCCGCAUACCGGUACGCACUGCAAAAACUGCAGUUCGUGCAGUUUGCAAUUUCUGGUGUUUUAAGGGGCUUUUUGGGGUUUGUUACAAUAUGUUAUAUAACCCCUUCAUCUCCCUCACAGCACCCUUUGUGCUGAGCUUGGAGAAGGAGAAAGCUAGGGUUUUUCUCCCUUUUUCUCUCUAGAUUUCUCCCAAACUUCUUUUAAUUUGAGGUUUGAUCUCUUUGUCUUCUUCUUCUUUAUGGUGGCAAGCUUGUAGACCUUGGAGGAAGCUUGGAUGAGAAGAGGAGAGCUUCUUGGUGGAUUAAUCUUCAACCCUACCUCAAGAUAGCUUGAUUUGGAACUCUCUUGAAGGUUAGUACCCAUCUUGCAACCUCUAUUUGUGAUUUUUGCAAGAUCUGGAGAUGAAAACCUAGUUUUGAAAAAACUAGGGUUUGGUUUGCGAUUUCUUGAUUUGAGGCUUUUGGAACUUAAUUGAUGAGUGUAGAACUCUUCUUUAGGUUAGAUUUGAAGAUCCUUUGGAUUGAUAUAUUUGAGCUUUGGACAAGUGUAGCUUGAUCAAAGGUGAUUUUCUACCUCUUGUUGGGUUGGUUAAAGUUAAGCUUGUGGGGUGUUCGUUCAUUACCCCUAACCCUUUUAGAAAUUUUUUUAGGGUACUAGGAGCUUGGUGGACAACUUCGUUCGAAGGAAUGAAAUGGUUCGAAGAUCAUCCGGUGGGUUUGACCUCACCGAAAUGGGUAAACUCCCUCUAUGUCUUCCUUAUGGUUUUAAGACAUAUUUAGAUGCUUAUUCAUGCUCAUUAUGACAUGCUAGAAUUUAUGAAGACAUAAUAUGUACAUGUUAUGUAUAGUAAAAAUUUAUGCUCUAUGUAGUAGAGGCAUUGUUCGGAGCCGAAUUUCCUGAUCCUUGACCCGGUGAAAGAUCUUCCUCGGAGAACAUGUAGGGAUGAAAAACAGCUACGAAUAGUGACCCUCGAAGUUUGCGCCCUUCGACUCGAUCAAGCGAUUCGGCUGAUGAGGGAUCGAAUCAGCGGAGUUCGAAGACCUUUACUUUAGACUCGGUUCGGCUGGAAGAGCCGAAUGUACAGAAUGCACAAAGUUUUAGGUCGGCUGAUGAGCCAAAUAGAUGGAAUACACAGAAACUGGUCAACUGAAAGAGCCGAAUGCCUUUAUAUAUUAAAAUGAAGUUGGGAACUCAUACAAAACAGAGUGUGCCCGAAGAGCAUACAAACUCUGAAAAUCUAGAUUAUAACAGAGUGUGCCCGUGGGGCAUACAGACUCUAGGGAUCUAACUUAAAAACUACUCUUAGGAAAGCAAUAAAUUUGGGUAAAAAAGUUUACAUGUAGACUACUCCUAGAAAACGAUAAAUGUAGGAAAGGAAAGUAUUGAAAACGCGGCGGUCUUCUCGUUCAGGGGAGAGAAAGACCUUUAUUACAGGCUUCAGAAAGACCUUUAUUACAGGCUUCAAAGUUACUAUUAUAAUAUCUUAUCAGCCCACAUUAUUAGUUGGUUAUAGUAGUGAGGGAAGUGCUGUAGCCAUGAUCAUAGAAGUUACGCUCCACUUCUCAUGGAAGUUACGCCCCACUUCACAUGGAAGUUACGCUCCACUUCACAUAGAAGUUACGCCCCACUUCACAUGGAAGUUACGCCUCACUUCUCAACCGUUCCCGCCUAAACACUCUUGACCUUAAGGCGCCCUAUUACCGACUCCUGGUGUACCACGUGUCCUUAUUUCUUUAGCUCAUAUGUGGGUUACGUCGGCGUGUUAAUUUUAAAUUUGGCAUCAACAAUGCCCCCCCAAUAGUCUUUCGAAUAAACAUUCGGAUGACUAUUGGUGCCAAAUCGACUACUCAAUGGCACAGCUGAGACCUAAGCUUUAGUUUCGCUGGUUUUGGUUGGCUUAAAGAAAGCGACUCUUUAUCAUCCCAGCCGUAUAUACCUUAGCUUCAUCAGCCGAUUCUUUACUUUUACUCGAUUGGUUCGGCUCUUCUUGAACUGAAUGUUCUUCUAUCAAGAAUUUCUCCUUGAAGAAAGCGGCUCUUUACCAGCCGCAUAUACCUCGGCGUCAUCAGCCGAUUCUUCACUUUCACUCGAUUGGCUCGGCUCUUCUUGAACCGACUGUUCUUCUAUCAAGGAUUUCUCUUUGCCUUUUCUUUGCUUUUUAUAUCGGCUCCAUUGCAGUCGAUUGUCCUUACUUUUUUUUCGAAAUUGCUCAUAUUGGGCAACUCGAACACCUAGAUCAAAUAGGUUAGAAAAAUACUUAUCUUCAAAAUAGUCUUUUAUCUUAAAAUGCAGACCAUUUAACGUCAUUUUGGCGAACUCUAAUUCCGGCAUUCUCAUAAAGCACCGGGUAUUGGCUAUUUUGAAACGGUUCAAAUACUCUUUGACCGUUUCACCUGACUUUUGUUGGUAUAAAGCCAAGUCGGCAACCGAUAAUUGUGGCUUCGACCUAUAGAAUUGCUCAUGAAAUUUUCUUUCCAAUUCGUCCCAAUCUUGGACGGAAUUGGCUGAUAAACUUGUAUACCAAGUAAACGCCGUUUUAGUUAACGACGUGUUAAAUAAUCGAAGUUUCAAAAAUAAGUCAGCGGUCGCUUCUCUACAUUGGGCCGUGAACUGGGCUAUAUGCUCGACCGUAUUCUCGGUCUCAUCGCCCGAGAACUUAUCGAACUUCGGCAUUUUUCAGUUUGCCGGAUAUGGAUCCUCCACAUUGAUGUUCGCGGGAUAAGGUGAUUUAAACACAGGCAGCAUUGCCAGCCUUGCGCCAACUCCGAAAGUAUUUCGGAUGGCUUCUUCAAUCCGUGCGUAUAUUUCAUUAUUGUUCCCCUACAAAGGAACCUGUGCUUGUAUUACAUUCGGUCCUUGCGGUAGACCGAAAUUCGGUAUAAUAGGGUUAACUCCUUGCAUAUUCGGAGCCUGCCCCCCAGCCCUUACGCCUACAUUUUGGGGCUGGUAAGCUGGUAAAGGAGGUAAACACAAUGCCAUCUCCGACUGCGGGCCGGCGUUUAUAUUCGUCGGCCUAUAAGCAGCCUGGAAAGGUGCCAUUUGCGGUUGCGCCUGUGAAACCGCCGGCGUGAUGGGAUUUUGUUGCACCGGGCAUAUUUAGGGGUCCCUGUUGCCCCCCGUAAGGUUGCUCAUUUCGAGUAAAUAACUGUCUGAUUCGAACAAUAUUUUCAUUGUAGGCCGUUAUGCCGGCCAACACCGUGUCUAGUUGAGCGGUACUUUGAUGGAUAUUUUGAUCAACAGUUUGCAAGACUCGGGUCAUGUGGCCGAGUGCCUGAGUGUAAGGAAGUGAAUUCUUGAAAUCCGGGGAUUAGACUUCGUUUAGAAUUGACUAAUUGUCGAGUGAGUAGGUUUCGGAAAGUCUGAAGGCGAUUAAAAUGCAUAAGGUGCAUUGAGGAAGAGUCCGCGAGAGCAUCAGUGCAAAACCUGCACUGGAGCAAAAUUGCUCUCGGGGACCGGUCCCCGGCAGGGAGGGACCGGUCCCAUCGGCUGGUGUGGCCGGGAUCCUUGAUGCAACCGAUCCCUGGCAGGGAGGGACCGGUCCCCGAACGUCAACCCAGCGAGAAAGACCGAAAUUUGGCUAAGUCCUAAAAAUCCAACUCUCGGGAACCGGUCUCUCAGGCAAGGACCGGUCUCCCGGGGACCGGUCUUUCAGGCUAAGAUCGGUUCCCGAACGUGAGAUUUUUCUCUGCCCGAAUAGGAGGCUCUCGGGGACUGGUCUUCCCGACCUGGGACCGGUCCCUCACUGCGAAAUUGCCCAGUGAGGGCUGCUUUGUAGAGUGGAAAGUUGAGGGGUUUAAUUGCAAAAUGGCCUAUAUGAGAGAUGGGGAACCCUUUUCUCUCCCUCACUGCUCUCUUUUCCCCUCACACUCUCACCCUUUCUCCCUUUCUCUCUCUCUAGAAAGAAAAGAAGGAGAAGAAAAAGAAGAGGAAGAAGAAGAAGGAGAAGAAAAGAAAGAGGGGGGAGAAGACUAAGAAGAAGAAGAAGAUCAUCUUCUUCUUCCUCAAGCUAGGAGCUCUAACCCUACAAUAGUAUUUCUAGGGUUUAGGGUUCUUGUUGUUUGGAGAUGGUUUUAAUGAGACCUAAUGGAGUCAAAUAGAUGAUUCUAGCAUGAAUCUAAAGCUUGAAUCAUGGAUUUCUCCGUGGUUGCAACCUAGGGCUCCGAUUUGGGAUUUUUGGAAAUCUAGGGUUUAAUCUAUUUUAAUGGGUCAUAAACCUAAUUGCUAAGUCUUCGAACGCGUAGGCGAAGACGGUCCUUCGUUACGACGAGCGAGUGCGAAAAUAUCGCCGGAACAAGUGCUCGAGGGUUCGGAUUAGCCUGAAGAGUCGAGGCGACGACGAAGGAUCACGGCGUCGAGUUUACUAGCUACACGGUAGUACCAAAAAGGUGGGGGUGCUAUCCCGAAGCAGUUGAACUGCUCCCUAUGUCUAAGUCAUCAUGUUGAUCAAGUGCGGUUGAUCAAGUGCUUAUUGUAUUAUUGCAUUAUAGGGUGCUGAAUGUAAUUGUUACAUUUUAUUGCAUGCUAGAGUUAGCUUAGCUUCGUGGAUAUAGCGCCGAACCUAGUAUGCAUGAGUUGAAUAGGAGAUAGUCAACCCUAUAUGUGAUGAAUGUGUUAUGCGAAUGAGAACCUAGUAUGGAAUAACUAGUAUAUGAGAACAUUGAACCUUGACGAGUGGCAUCUAGUUAAUGUUAACCUUGACGAGUGGCAUCUAGUUAAUAUUAACCUAUGAUGAAUAGCUAUGAGAACCUUAGUGUGGUUGGUAACACUAGAGUGAUGAGUAUGGUAUUUGCUUGCAUAUAUGAUGAUACUAUCCUUAGUUGACAAGAUGUUCCCAGUUUGUGAGGGUUUGGAUCGAGCUUACAUAGCCUAUCUGCGCCUGUGGUGGUAGCUCCACACAGGUAGUGCACUCCGGAGGUUGUCACACGAGGGGGGGCCAAUGUAGUUGCCCUUGGACUAUUGUAGCUGUUCGCAGGCGGUCUCGGGGGUAGUUGAGUAGCUAGUCUCCUCCCCUAUGAGACUUACACACAUGAGAUUGUGAGCAAGCCUCGAGUUCGCAGAGGGAUUGGGUAACCUGAUGAGUUCCACGUUUUUGUGCAUAGUAGUAUAUUAGCUACAGGUUUCACUAUGAUGUGCAUGCAUGCAUUAUACAGAUUGAGGCAUAGUUAGAUGUUGCAUAUAUAUAUAUAUGUAUAUCUGCUUAAAUGUUGCCGAUGCUUUCAAUUACAAGUAUCUAUCUAUCUGUCUAUUGUCUCUCUAUGCUUGCUUAGACCUAGUGGGGAGAUCGGCGGAGUUGGCGGCCGAACCCACUGGGAACUAUAGAAGAUAGUUCUCACCCCACUCUCUAUAGGUCCGAGUUCGAGUGUCCCCGGCGAGCGCGACGAUCGUGGCAAGGGCAUAGCGCCCUAGGGGUAUCCAUAGCUAGCUUUACUUCCUUCUGCAUUAAUUCCACUCUAUGUUUUAUGUUUGAGAGUAGAUGAUGUAUAGGGUGAGGUUUUGAGAGUGAUUGUACAUAUGUUUUGGAAGAAUGUAAAGGUUGAAAUAAUUGUAUCAAAGUUAAUGAAUUCAAUAGUUAAGUAUAUCUCUCU
This 76811-nucleotide long non-coding RNA is filed under the name Ananas comosus (pineapple). RNAcentral describes it as "long non-coding RNA (ACOM_LNC002083)". Lineage: Eukaryota; Viridiplantae; Streptophyta; Magnoliopsida; Poales; Bromeliaceae. The record is from RNAcentral.